UGGAGUAAAUGGUCUUUCAACUGAACAACGAAAACGACUUACAGUUGCAGUUGAACUUGUUGCUAAUCCUUCUAUAAUAUUCAUGGACGAGCCAACCUCUGGAUUAGAUGCUAGAGCAGCUGCAAUAGUAAUGAGAACAGUUAGAAACACUGUAGAUACAGGUCGAACAGUAGUAUGCACCAUCCAUCAGCCUAGCAUUGACAUAUUUGAUGCUUUCGAUGAGGUGAUAAAUAGUUGAUCUUCCAAAAUCUAGCAGCUUAGCAUAAUUUGUUUUAGACAAAAAGAUUCUCAUUUUACUAAUGAAUUGCAGCUCCUACUCCUGAAACGAGGAGGUGAAGAAAUCUAUGUCGGCCCAUUAGGACGCCAUUCUUCUAACCUUAUUAAGUAUUUCGAGGUAAGGAUACUGUUAUGUAAAGAAACUGUCAUUCCUGUUAUGUUGGCCAAGUACACAGAGUAAUGAUUGUUUUUCCAUUUGCUCAGGGAAUUGAUGGAGUUGCGAAAAUCAAAGAUGGCUAUAAUCCAGCAACAUGGAUGUUGGAGAUAACUUCAGUAGCACAAGAAGCAGCUCUUGGAAUAGACUUUACAGACAUGUAUAAGAACUCAGAAAUGUAUAGGUAUGAAUCUAGAGUUGAACGCAAUUACAUUCUACAUAUAGAAUUACAAAUGUCUUGUCUUGAAUUCUAAAUUGGAGCAAAUAUCAGGAGAAACAAAGCUUUAAUCAAGGAACUAAGUGUGCCAGUCCCAGGUUCAAAAGAUCUGUACUUUCAAACCAAGUACUCCCAGUCUUUCUUCACCCAAUGCAUGGCUUGCUUCUGGAAACAGCACUGGUCAUACUGGCGCAAUCCUCCUUACACAGCUGUCAGGCUCAUGUUUACAUUCUUCAUUGCUCUCAUGUUUGGAACAAUAUUUUGGGAUCUUGGCUCCAAAAGGUAAGUAAAAAUGUACAGGAACUGUUUUUCAUCUUCAACAUGUUGGUCACAAGUCUAAUGGUUUUGAACACAAUUUCAGGAGAAGGCAGCAAGAUAUUUUGAAUGCAAUAGGCUCAAUGUAUGCUGCUGUCUUGUUUCUUGGUGUACAAAAUGCAACUUCAGUGCAGCCAGUAGUUGCCAUUGAGAGGACAGUCUUCUACAACCUUAUGCUUUUGGGCAGGUACAGAUUUGUAUCUCCACAAACAACUUAGUUUGGUCAAAACCUCUUAAUGAUUCAUAAAAUGGAUUCAAAUGAUCACUGAGGGUCUACGACCUUAAAAGUUCAUCUCUAUCUCGAGCUUUCAGUCUGCAUAUCAAAUAAAUCCAAUUUGGCCUAUAUAUAGCAUCUGAAGUCCUAGCUAGGGGACAUCUUGUGGGGCAUCAGUGUAAGUAAUAUAAACAACUGACAGUGUGUUACUGAUAGAAGCGGAUCCAAAUUUAGAGUAAAUUGAUUCAAAGUAAGUUCAGUUGUAUGAACACGCGUGUGCACCAUUUUUCAUCAAAGGAGUUAAGAUUUAUCAUCAUGACAGGUCGUCCACAGAACUGUAAUGUUGACGUUGGUUGUCAUUGGUUCCACUUAUAUUAGCUACUCAUACUCAUCGACUGAAUAUUUUUUUUUUAUGCAGGUUAUGAUUGAGCUCCCAUACCUUUUAAUCCAAACGAUCAUAUACGGGGUUAUAGUCUAUGCCAUGAUCGGAUUUGAAUGGACAGUUACCAAGUUCUUUUGGUAUCUGUUCUUCAUGUACUUUACCUUAUUGUACUUCACAUUGUACGGGAUGAUGACAGUAGCUGUUACUCCUAAUCACAGCAUUGCAGCCAUCAUUUCAUCCGCAUUUUUUGCAGUAUGGAAUCUUUUCUGUGGAUUCAUCAUUCCAAAAACAGUAAGUUACCUACUAAUUCUUCUCCAAGCUACAUUGUCAUCAACAUGAACUGCCCCAAGCUGGAACAUGUUUACAAAGAUUGGACUAAAUUUGUUGUCAAACUGUCAUGAAUGUAACAAUUUUCUAUCGUUUUCCCAAUUUAUGACAGAGAAUGCCAGUGUGGUGGAGAUGGUACUAUUACAUUUGCCCCAUUUCGUGGACAUUAUACGGGCUAAUUGCCUCACAAUUCGGAGACCUACAAGAUAAACUUGACACAAAUGAAACAGUGGAAGAAUUCAUGGAAACUUUCUUUGAUUUCAAAUACGAUUUUGUCGGAUAUGUUGCAGUCAUUCUUGUUGGAAUAUCAGUUACUUUUCUCUUCAUUUUUGCUUACUCAAUAAAAGCAUUUAACUUCCAGAAAAGAUAGGUUGGUCCCGGUAAAAGGGCUUUAUCAAAAAAUGUGUAUAAUAGGACAAUAUAUAAUGCAUCUUUUUCCUCCUUUUUAAGAUAUUCUCAAUUUUGGAAUAGAAAGAACUAAAGUUUGUGCCCUGUAGAGGCUGUAUCUAAGAACAACUUGUACAUGGGAAAGGUUUUGAGUUUCUUUUGUAAAAUAUCUAUGAACUUGUCGGGCGUCUCUGAAUUCAAACUAUUGUUCUUCAUUUUUUUGCUUUUUUGAACAAUUUUUGUGUUAGAAUUUUUUAAGAACACAACACGUGUGCCUAGCGACUGGGGAGUUAGUGAAAUGCUAAUUUUUACUCUUCAGGUUACUGUUGUUCAUAACUUCUAAUCUCAUUCUCUUUUCCUGUUCUUUAUAACAACAGACAGAAUAAAUAUUUUUCGCUAUUUGACAGAAACACAAGAGACAAGAGGGGAAAAAUCAUGAUUUCAGUUUUCGGAUUAUGAUCUUGAUGAACAUGUGGUUUUGAUGGUUGACAAAACUCAUGUGAGAACUUGGUCCUCAGAGGGAUCCUGUUUCGUAGGGACUAGGUUCAUAUUAUGGAUGUACUCAUAACCUUGUUACGUGGUAACUUCUCAAGGGGAUGUUUCCUAGUUCUAAUAUGUGCAGUGAUACAUGACAUGAAAGCACUGAAUGACACAUGGGAUAUCUGGUCCUAAUAAUAGACAAACUUGCCCAGGGACCUGAUUAGGGUCCACGUCCUCCGGUCAUCGAACUUCUGCCAGUCAACAUGACAGCUGUUAGCUGUACUUUUUUGCAGAAAAGUUGGUGGCACAGCAACAAAGGAGCAACAUCUUUUUAAUUCCGACCAAUGAGAAAUAUUCUAGGUUUUCCCCUCCCAUUUGCUUCAUAUAUAUAAAAUAUUAUGUGGGAGGAAAACCUAGCUCUUUGAUACGAACAAAAAUUUUGGAAACGAAAAUUAAACUAUGAUACGAAGACGAAAGAUGAGAUAUAAAGAAAAGGUAAUAAGAUAGACACAAUGAAAGGAAUUGAAAGCAAAUAAAGGGUCUAUCAAACCGUAAAGCCUCAAUCAAUAUACAAAACAAAGCACCUAAAUCUUACGUAGACCUCAAGGGAAUUGGAUUCCCAAGCAACCCACGUUUCUAAAUGAAGUUUCAACACAAGCGAUUCCACGUUUGUCUCACACUCUCAAUAGAGUAUAUAUUCAUAAUUUUUCAAAAACUACUACUAAACGAAAGAGAAGUCCUAUUUAUAGUCUAGGCUAAGUUAUUACAUCUUAUGGGUCUGAAAGUGACCUAUUUGGAAAGACAAAACAUAGGAGCCCAUUAAGCAUCCACUUGAGCAUCUCUAGUGUAUAUGGGGCGCACAUGAGGCGCAUCCCAAGGGCAUAGUAGACUGUUUUGACCUGCUCUAGCAAAUCUAGAGUAGGUUGGAUGCACCUCCAAAGCGGAUGGGGCACAUGUCCUCUUUUGGGGGUUUUCUAGCCCCAUCUUGCCUUUCUUUGGCUUCCUAAACGUCCCUUGACCCUCCUUGAUCAUCAUAAUCAUUCAAUUAGCACCUUUUGAUAGCACUAAGGAGGCACCAAGCGCCUCUUGAACUAUAAGCAUCCUCUCCCAAGCAAUUUGGAUUGUAUCAUCCUUUCCUUAUUGAAGAAGAUUCGUCCUCGAAUCUACACCUUAAGACAUAAGAGAAGAAUACACAACCAAGACAUCCUCAAGCACGAGGGUUAUCACAAGGGUUAAAAUCAAAAUAUCUAUGUUGGAGACACCUAUUUCAAAUAUAACCAAAUAUCCUUCAAGUUAAUAGAAGAGAAGUCAACAUUUAUGGUGCCAAGGAUUUGUCUAUGAAAAGCAUCAAGAAAUUCUCCCAAGUUAGUUUCAUUACCAAGAUUACCAAACAAAUCAUCAUAUGUUAGAACACUAAGGGUAGAGUGAAAGAGUUAUUAGGGUGUAGAUUACACUUACUUUCACAAGAGACCAUGUAUACACAUAAGGCAUUUGUAGCACCAAUAUGGCUAUGCUCACAAACAAAGAAAACGGAAUGAAUAGAGCUAUGAUUACCUAAGGUUCUACCAUGAAAAAUAUAACAUGAAGGUAAGAACAAACAUCUUAAGAACCUCACAUUCCUUUCACUUGAACAAGCUCCCAAGAAAUAUCCAAUUUAUUUAUCCACAGAGGUAUGACAAGAAAUAAGGGACAAAGGUUGUUUAUCAAGUUAGAACCAUAGACUAUUUAUAGAGCAACAAUUAGAUUGGCCAUCCGAGAUGGGAAAACCACACAUUUUAUGCACAUUCAAGUCAUUCCUAAAGACAUAAACACCAUCUAGGUAGAUUUUUAAAUAAAAUAUCUUGAAAAGAUUGUCUACCUUAGGGUGAAUGUCAUUACAAUUUUAAGAAAUACUAGGAAUAAGAAGGGGUAGGUACAUACAUUUGGAGCAAAGCCUUGAGCCUGCUCUCUUGCCUUCUAAACUUGCACCAUGUGGUCUUUCCCUCACAUGCAUCAACUUAGAAAUUGGCAAAAUGCUAGUGCCAAAGGUAUUGAACAACAAGGACUUGGAUUUGUUGCUAAACUCUCCUUUAUUGUCCCAAAGCUCCAAUUCUUCACUACUUAUCUCCCGCCUCAUCAUAAGGUUAAGGUUCAUGACAUCUCCUUCUUCAGGCCAAAUAUCUUCAUGGAAAACAUUCAUCAUCAAUCCACAAGGUACAUUAAAGUCCCCUUCAACUUUUGCUAAUUUCUAUUCACUUCCAAGGUCUUCAUCCUCUUGAGGAUCCUUCUCACCACCAUCCUCUUGGGUCACCUUAUCCCCAACAAAGUAAGGAUCACCCUCCACCAAUACUAUAUUUCUUCGGUUGGGACAUUCACUAGCCUUAUGACCCCAACAUUAACAUUUAAAAAAAAUAAUUUCUCCAGGAUUGGUGUUAGAAGAUUGGUUACCUUUAUUCUUUGGUGGAUAUCUCGGGAUUGCAUUUUCAAUGGGAUUCUUCUCGAAUGACUUGUUGAAAUCCUUUUUUUGUUCCAUCCGGAUGAAGUAAAAGAAUUGCAACCUUUAUUGAAAGACUUCUUGGCAUUGUUGUUCCUUUAAGACUCAAUGAAUACUUCAACAAGGUCUUCUAUUCGUACAAAAUUCUGGACAACUUGUUUAGAAGAAAUUUCAUAAUCUAACCCACUUUUUAGUUGAGCCAUAUAAUGAUUUUAGGGUUCAACAAUUUCAAAACAAAGAAUUAAGUUUUAGAACUCCUCAUAAUAGUCUUCCACACCUCUACUUUCUUAUCUCAAAUUGUAGAGAUUUGUUAAUUGUUCUUGCUUAAACUUUUCCAUCACAUACCUCACUCUCAUGAGUGCCCUCAAUUCAUCCCAAUCCAGAAGGUCGGGAUUACCAUUCCUCUCUCUUUUCACUCUCUUAAUCUCUUUCCAAGUAGAAGCAUACUCUUCAAAUUGAGAAAUUGCAUAGGUGACUUUCUUGUGUCCGGUUAACUCAUUGAGUUGGAAGAUCCUAUUGCCUUGUACUUCCCAAUCAAGGUAAAUUGAUGGAUCGCUAGUUACUUUGAAGGUAGGAAGAGUGAUCUUGAUUGAGUUAAGACUCCAGUCUCGACCAAUAUUUCCCCUUGAUCCUAUUGAUGAUCUUCUUAAACUUGGGGACGAAUUCCCAAGUUUCCUCUUCCAUGUGGAACCAUACCAAAUCUUCUUCCGCGUUCUCUAUAUCCUCUAUCUUGAUCUCCUCUUCCAUUACAUACAAAUUCUGCAAAGAGAGACACGUCAUCUAACUCUUCAUCCCUUCCAUGAGGUUCCUCACCUCUAACAUCCUUAUUUUGGAUUGGUUGAUUGUGGUUAAGUGGGAUUUGAGGGGUUGGUUUCUGGUAAGUGGGGCUCUAGGUAGUCCUUGGGGUAUUUGGAUAUGCGAUUCUUGUUUUUGUGGAGUUUCAUGGUGGACGAAUGAGAUUUUGGUUAUUUGUGUGAGCAGUGGCUUGAAUGAUGGGUUCAUAUAUUUGCCUCAUUGGAUUGAGCAUUUGGUAAAGGUUUUCUAAGAAAAUAGAAAUGGGAGGGCAUGUAGCAUGUCCACUAGUUGAAGCGUGGUAGUGUUGAGGCGUGGAUAGAUAUGAGUUUUGUCGACCUUUCACGAUAUCCAUUCUUCCACCGAUGUUGUGAAUACUUCCUUCAAGUGAAGCCACCUAAGGUCAAGUGAGUUUAUCGUAUCUUAGCGUCCAUAGGAUCAAUUUUACGGUUGAGAGUUUAAAUGGCCACUAAAAUAACACUUGUGUGUCCAUAGGUUGCAAAGUUUUGCCUUCCGUAGCCAUUAUACCUAUCACAAAAAUACUAAACAAAAACAAAAACAAUAAACAAGUUAAAGUUAAGAAAUUAACCUCACAAGCUCUCAAAGUUCACACCUUUUGUUUGUCUCUCAGUUGGCGUCUUUGUCGCUCAAUUGGCAUCGCAAGCGUUGUUAGAUUGUUUAUACUUUAAUGAGUUUGCUUAGUACCAAUUGUGUCUUGAGGUAGGAAUGGAUUAUUGUUUGAAAGACUAAAAAUAAAAAGAUAAUUACGUACAAACUUAAAUCAAGAACUCACAACAAAUUAAAAAAGUGAAAAGCUUGAAAGAAAUAGGCCGAUGAAAGAAACCAAACUCAAGAACCAAUCAACCAACUUAGCAGGUGAAUUAUUAGUUGUUGAGUGGUUUAAGAAUCAACAGACGAAUUUAGGAAUCAAGAAGUGAAACCAAGGAAUCAAACCUGAGCAAAUUAGAAUUUAGGAGUGUUAGAAAGCAUUUAGAACUUGAAUUUAAUGUUGGGGAGGCUUGAUUUGCAUUUGGGAGGUGUCACACACCUUGGUGCAGGUCAAAGCACUUGCAGCACAGAUGAGGGAGGUUGCUCACUCCCUUGAGAUAUGGAAACAACUCCAACACAUGUCUAGGGCAGGCUGGGCAUAAGAGCAGCCUUGGACACUGCCUUGAUAUGUAGUAGCAGCUCCAGCGCACCUGCAGUGCAGAUGGACAACAAGUUGGCCACAUCUUCCUUUUAAAAAGGUAGAAAAUACCCCUUGAUUGGUCUCAUUUGCACUCUUCGAUUGGAAUAUGCUUGGAAUUCUUUGGAGAUGCCUUGGUACAACACUUUUUUACUUUUUUUCUCCUUCUUUUUGGAUCAAACACUCACUCUUUUGAUGAACUUCAGUAUCAAGAUAACAAUCUUCUCAAGAACACUCCAAGAACUCCAUGAACACCUUAGCUCGGAAUGAGUUGAAAAUUUGAACUUAUGCACUUGUCAAUAUUCUAAACUCAUUCCACGCAUUAUUUUGCUCAAAUUCCUCACCCAACACUUCAACUCUUGCAAUCCACUUUAAACUUUUUCUUCAAAGCCAAGCUUCUAAUGCUAGUAUAAGACUCAAUUUCACUCUGAUUUUGCUCGAAUUUGAUAUAUGGACUCUAAUAGUGUUAGGGAACUAAAAUUUAACACUAGAAACACAAGAAAAACUCAAAAUUUGAUCUAAGGCUAAAACAUAAAUAGUAAUUUUUUUGUGAUUUUUCAAUUUUUCACGAUGACUAAACCCAAGAUUGACUUCAUAGGAAUUAAAUCAAGCUAGACUCCGAUACGAAAUGAUACAGACACAAAUUAUGUAAAUUAAAACUAAACUAUGAUAUGAAGAAGAAAGAUAAGAUAGAAAAGAAAGGUAAUAAAAUAGACACAGUGAAGGGAAUUGAAAGAAAAUAAAAAGUAUAUCAAACCCUAAACCAUCAUCAAUAUACAAAACAAAGCACCUAAAUCUUACGUAGACCUCAAGGGAAUUGGAUUCUCAAGCAACCCACAUUUCUAAAUGAAGUUUCAACACAAGCGAUUCCACGUUUUCCUCACACUCUCAAUAGAGUGUACAUUCAUAAUUCAUCCAAAACUACUACUAAAUGAAAGAAAAGUCCUAUUUAUGGUCUAUGCUAAGUUAUUACAUCUUGUGGGCCCAAAAGUGACCCACUUGGAAAGACAAAACAUAGUAUCCCAUUAAGGAUCUGCUUGAGCAUCUCUAUAGCAUAUGGAGCGCAUAUGAAGUGCAUCCCAUGGGCAUAGUAGACUAUUUUGACUGCUCUAGCCGAUCUAGAGUAGGUUGAGCGUACCUCCAAAGAGGAUGGGGUGUAUGUCCUCUUUCGGGGGCUUUCUAGACCCGUCUGUCCUUCCUUUGGCUUUCUUACCGUCCCUUGACCCUUUUUGAUCAUCAUAAUCAUCCAAUUGGUACCUUUGAUAGCACCAAGGAGUCACCAAGUGCCUUUUGAACCACAAGCAUCCUCUCCCAAGAUCCGGAGUCAAUUCGAAUUGUAUCACUUUUGCUCAAUCAAAAUUUCUCAUAUUCUUGCAAAACCAUCACAAAGUUUCACCAAGAAAAAUCUCCAACAACAAAAGGACCGAUUUUCUAUAAUGAAAUAUGUCUUUAGGUCUAGAUUGUUGAGUAUUUGUAUUUUACUCUAUCAUUGUAAACCUACUCCUCUUUUGAGAAGCUUGUGUAGGUAUUUUAUUUUCUCUCAUCUUAUAGAUCUAUGUUGUGGGCUUCUGUUAGUUAUUGUAUGGUCGAGGGAUAGAGUUAGCCAUAGUUGUAACAUUGUUGGCUACAAUUAGCUUUGGUUGUCCUUGCAGUAGAGUUAUUUUAGAUAGUUUUUACAAUAGAGUUGUUGUAAGGGUGAGGGAUUAAGAAUUUAAUUCCUAGGUUGCAAUCUAAAAGUUGUUUUUGUUUUAGUGAAGUGGUUGAGAAAUCCUACUAAGGUAGGUCAUGGUUUUACUUCCUUGAUCAAGGAGGCUUCCACAUAAAAGAUCUUGUCUUCUUUACUUUUGUUCUUAGUCGUUGAACCUGGUGAGGGACCAGGUUUGCAUUACUGUGGCAAACUCAUAUAGAACCUUUUCUGUUAUUAGCUGAAGAAACUGGUAAGGGAUCUGGUCCUUAAUGUUGCGUCCUAUUUCAAAAUGGUCAAAACAAUCCAUAAUAUAAUGUGGUCAUGAUGACUCUUUCGUUUUGAAAAACUAUUUACUUUUGAGUCACCACCUAACUUUUAAGAAAAAACUAAGAAAACUAUUUUUGUAAUGUGAAAACUCUAUAUAUAGUCUGCAACCAGUGAGAUUGUAAGUAAGGAUUUGGUUACUCGAGGGGGAGGUAUUAAGCACCCCUCAGAGCCUAUCGGAAGAUAGUCCUUAAACUUAGUUUAUAGAAAAAUAUUUGAGAAAUAUUUGCCUUAAUUAUUUGCUAAAGAAGUGAUUAGACAAAAAACUUUUAUUAUUUUGUAAAAAGAAACUCAAGGUAUAUAAAACGUAACACCAACAUAUAUAAGAAAAUAAUAUGGUUAUUGCAAAAUGUGUACAUUUUAAAAUAUGAAAAAAAGGAUGUGUUGUAAUAAACAUUUGUUAGAGAGUAAAAAGUCUUGUGAGUUUAUAAAAAAAAGUAUGAAAUUGAAGUAUGGAAAUAAAAUUACUAUAAAGUAAAGAAAAGGUAGUUUUAAAGUAUAUGAGAACUUAUUUAUAAGGAGGUAAAUAUAAAUACAUGUAUAUUUUAAAGUAUAAGAAGAGAUGUGAAAAUUCAUUAAAUUGUGAAAUUUCAAUAGAUUAAAAAUAAAAUGUAAUAGUAAAACACAUAUGUUUAAUAGAGUUGAUAUGAUAUGUAAAUGAUAAAAUAAUAAUAAUACAAUAGUAAGAAAAAGAAUAGUAAUAGUAAGAAUAUACUUUAUAUAUGGUAGUGUAAAAGCACUUAUAUACCUUGUGUUUUUGAAGACUUCUAAAAUCUGAAAACUUGAAAUAAAAAAAAGGGCAGCCUAGUGCACUAAAGCUAUCGCUAUGCGCGGUGUCUGGAGAAAGGACCCACCACAAGGGAGUAUCGUACACAAUCUUACUUUGCAUUUCUGCCAGAGACUGUUUCCAAGGCUUGAACCCAUGACCUUCCGAUCACAUGGCAACAACUUACCAGUUACUCCAAGACUCCCCUUCUUAACUUGAAAUAAAGUUAGGAAUAACUAUAACAUGUAAUAAGCAUUUAAAUUAUAUUGGAUUAAAUGAAAAAUUGAAUUUGAUAGAUGAGUUGUUGGCAAAAAUGAGCGGGUCGGCUAAUUGAAACCUAUUACAUUGAUUUAUUUGAAAAAAAAUUCUAAUUAAGAUGAUAAAACAGUUAGUUAAUAUUUUGCAAAAACAAAUACUAUAACUAGCCAUUUUAUUCAAUCCAAAAAAAAAUUUUCCAUUUGAGAUUGUUCUUAUUAAAAAUAAAGUUUGUCAUUUAUUCUAAGAAGUUGAUUCGUAGUUACAAGACUAUAAAAUAUAAAAGUGGUCAAACCAUGAACCGUUAUUAUAUCUACGAGUGUCGAAUGAACACGAAAUUGGUCGAAUAAGAUCAAUUUCGGAUGAUUUGAAAUUUAAACGGAACCAAACAAUGUAAAGUUAAUCAAACCACACAAAAUACAUAUUCAAAGUGAUACAAAGUUAGUAAAAAAAUACCAAGAGAAAAUGCUCUGUUUCCAUCCCAAACUAUACACGAAAAUGUUGAGACACAGUCGAACUUUAGGAGGGUCCCAUUACCCCCUUGCGUUAAUUAAAAUCGUAUUUUUGACAACCUUAGUGCCUACGUGGUACAUAUGUGUGCCUACGUGGACCUUCAGUGUGUUGAUUCACUGAUAUGCCGCAUAUGUACCACUUAGAUACUAAAGUUGCCAAAAAUACGAUUUUAAUUAGUUUAGGGGGUAAUAAGACCCUCCAAAAGUUCAGGUGUAUCUUAGUAAUUUCGUGUUUAGUUCAGAGUGGAAACAAAACAUUUACUCAAAUACCAAUGAUAAUAGGAAUAUGUAGAGAAAGUAAAGGACUAGAUACACUAAGGGGUCGUUUGGUAGAGUUUAUAAGAACAAUGCUGAAUAGAGUGUAUUAGUAAUGCUUGCAUUAGUAAUGUUGGUAUUAAUUGUGCUUGCAUUACACUAUUUGGUUUGAUGUAUUAAGAAUAAUAUAUGUUGGUAUAAUUUUUAUAAGAAAAUAUUUGUUGACAAAAAUAUCCUUUACCCUUUUCUUUUUUUUUUGUUCUUUUAUUAGAACAGAUCAAGGAAUUGGAUAUUUUAAGCUUGUUCCGCCUUCUUCAUCUAACAACAAAUUCUCAGGCUUCAAAUCUCUAUGAUAAACACCACGACUAUGACAAAAAUCAAUUGUAGAUAUCAAUUGUUGAAAAUAACCUCUUGCAUUAUCUUCCCUAUAACUUCCUUUUAGCUGCUUUUUCAAAUAAUUCACCGUCUUUAACAAACUCCAUAGAAAUAUAUAUAUUCGUUUUGCUUGUCAUAACUUCAUGAAGCUCAAUAAUAUUUGGAUGUUUAACCAUUUUCAUGACGGAGUCUCAAACAAGUCAAAACUUCAAUCCCAAACCCUCAUUCCCCAUAUUCAUAACCUCCAAAAUAAAGAAUCCAAUUUCAAAUCUAUACCCAAAAAUCCAACAUUCAAUUUUAGUGGAGAAGAGUAAUAUCUCAUUGAGGGAAGAAAGGAAGAAGGUGCAGUGAAUAUUACCUUACUUUUCCAUGGCUAAUAUAUUAAAAAAGAAAAAAAAAUAGAGGCAAAGUGAAGAGAAGGCAAGGCAAAGUGAAGAGAAAAUGACAAAAUAUUUUAGUAAGGAUUUAAGGGGUAAAUUUGUCAUUUAACAAGAUAAUACAUGUAUUAAAAUACUUUGUAUUAUUAAUACCUAGAAAAUGGCGGUGUUAGUAAUACAAUACUUAAUAUACAAAAGAGUGUGUAACUAAUACAAACAUUAGUUAUGCAUAGGCUAAAAAAUGAACCAAACAAGGUAUUACUAGAACACAAGAAUAAUGCAUGCAUUAAAUUUUUUAACACACUCUACCAAACGAUCCCUAAGUUCUUUUUUGGAGGAAACCACUCCUAACGAUGUAGACUCCGAAAGUUGACGAUCCUAUAACUGUUAACCCAAUAAUAUGAGUGAAAUUGAGUUUCAUUACGUAACUUCAACUCCCAAGUGUACAUGAAACAAAAGAAAAAAAAUAAGUAUUAAUAGCCGAUUAACUAGAAAGACAAAAGGUGUAAAGUUGUAAAGGCUCAAGUUCCACGUCAUAUCUCCAAAAUCAAUAAUUUAAUGUUCGUAUACAUAUUUUCUUACUAUGGUAACAAGUAAUAUAGGAUGCUAACAAUUCCGAACCAACACAUAAUUGUAUACUAAUAAUCAUCCAAUGCAGUGGUGGAAAAAGAAGCAUGAUAUCCUACAGGUUGGUCCCACGAGCAGAGAUAUAUUUCCAGGCUAAAGAAAGUUUGUACAAGUGCUAGGAAAUAAUAAGGAAUGUAAUAGUGAGGACAUGAAACUUUUACUUUGGUAAAGAGUGAAAGAAAACAAGAAUAAGCACAUUCCAACACACACAGACUCUUGAAUGAUUUGGAAGUAGUUCGAAUACGUACCCAGACUUAUAUUAAACAUAAUUAAAAAUAAAAGGGACAAACAGUGAGAAAACAGAAUAACAACAACUUUAUGUUUCAACUAACAAACUUUAUGGAAAUCACUCUCUCAGUUAUUCACAAGACCAUAUUAGGCUCGCACUGAAACAUUAAAAAAAUCAGAAAACAACACCAGCAGUCCUAAAAUAAAACAAACACCGGAUGCACAUAUCUACAGACCCAUGUAUUCACACACAAAUAAUUUUCAGAAAAAGAAUAUUAUAUUUUAUUCGCAAAGGUGUUGAAAAACCAAAAACAACCAUAUUUAAGAAUAAAAUAAAAUCACACAUUCAUAAACCAAACGAGACGAAGAAAAGAUGAACAAAGGAAUUAAACGGCAGAUUCGCACAUAUUAGAACACUUAAAACAAAGUCAUAUUCCUAAAUUCAAUUCCAGGACAAUGAACGACAACACCAUAAAAAGACCUGAAAUAAAUUAAUUCACCCAUUCACGACUCUCAAAAAAUGGCCGACAAAGAAGAUACGAAGGCCACAUAAAAGACGGGUCUUUACCUUGUGUUGUGCUGCAAGCCAGGAGAUUUGACGUCAAUAUUCUGACCACAAAUUCGAGUUUUUCAAAAAUUCAAACUCAGACCUAAGAGUAAUGGAUUUUGUAAUUCUUGCUUGUAAAAAUGUUCACUCAUUUUUCAAUCACCCAUCCUCAAAACUUAUUCCAAAUUGAAAAAAAUUAUGGGUAUUUAUAGGCAAAUUCAAAUUUCAAAAUCCAAAUUUGAAACCAAGAUUUCAUAGAAACCAACGGUUAGAUAAAGAUGAUGAAUUCAUAUUCAAAAAACUGAAAGGGACGACUCCUCUCUCGAUUUGGUUGAAUCUCAGACCUUUAAUGCGGAUUUCAAAUUAAUUUUAAGCCCUUGCAUUGAUUUGGUUACUGUUGCUCCACUGUCAUUGAGAUUCACGAGUUGGGGAUGAAUGAAAAUAGGUGGGCUAUUUACAGAAGCGCUGUAGGUAGUGGUGACGUGGAUAGGGCUACUCGUUUGGUGAUGGUGGAGGAGCCGGAGAAGGAGAGAAGAAGAAGGGUUGUUGGUUGCUGUGUUUUGGGGAAAUUGAAAGGGAGAGGUCGAUGGAGGUUCUGAAAAAUUUGAAAUGUUUCUCCGACUUUGGGGAAAGAGGAGUCACGCAUUUUUUUAUGGGAAAGACAAAAGAAAUUUUGAAACUCUUGACUUAAUAUGAACCGUCCGAUCGUUUGAUCGGACAACUUAGACUUAGAAUAAAAAUAAUAAUAUCUAUCUUUUAUCUAUCUAUCUAAUAUAUAUAUAUAAAGCUGAAAAACAUAUGGCCCUUGGAUUAAAAUGAUUUUAAUGAUCAAGAUGAGUUUGUAUUUAUAGGCUACGUGAUUGCAGCGAGAUGUGAUUGGUUAGGGAGAUGUGGCAAGGAUUGAUGACCAGGAUGUGGGUUUGGAUGAAAAAGAGUUUUAUGGAUCGGGUUUGGGUGAAAAAUUAGGCCUCUUGGUCCGAAUUUGAUAAGAAAAACUUAGGAUUGAAUAAGUAAACUUGGAAUUGAAUUAUUUUUUACUCAAAUACUCUCUUUUUCACUAAAAAGUAAUUUUAUCCUUGCUUCUUAUUGUCCUAAAAUUAUUUUCACAUAUAUACAUACAUAAAUUCUAUAAAUAAUUCUUGUAUGCGCAUAAAAAUAAUUUAAUAAUUAAUUAUAUAUUUUAAAAGGAAAAAGCCUCAAAUAUGCCACUGAACUAUCAGAAAUGACUCAUUUAUGCCAUUCGUUAAAAGUUGGGUUCAUUCAUACCAUCGCCAUUACAAAACUGGCUCAUCCAUGCCAUUACUUUUAACAGUCGGUUUUUAAAAAACAGUUUGCCACGUGGCAGCAUAUUAGAGGUCCACGUCAUUUUUAAAUUUUUUUUUAAAAUUAAAUUUAAAAAAAAAGAAUUAAUUUUUUGUUGAUGCAUUAAAAAGAAUCCACCUAACUUUUUGAUCCAUUAAAAAUUAGUUUGAUCUAUACUUUUGAAGUUUGAGAUUAUUUGUAUAUUGCCCCAUAUCAAUAGUUUUUUUUUUUCCUUUUCUGGCUUUCACGUGUGACUCUGUUCACAAUACGGAUCAAUAAUAUGAUCAUCUCCCUUUGAACUAAGUUUCACUUGAUUAAUUACUGUUAAUGAGUUAAUUUUGAGAUUAUUUGUGUAUCGCCUCAUAUCAUCCGAGUAUUUAUAGUUACCAAACUCGUCACCUUUUUUUUUUGGGUUGUAUGCGGCUUAAAAUUGUGGUCAAAUAUAGUAAAUUGAUCCAUAGACAAGCAAAGACAAUAAGACAAUACGUCUCAUGCCGUCACUCUAUCAUCCUCAUACCCAUCCUGCAAAAAUUUCAGUACGAUAGCGUUGAUAUCAAUUACUGUGAUAAUUAAUUACCAUAAAAUACUUUUAAUAUUGUAUGAUAUCAUUCGCUUUGAAUCAAAUUGACAUUUUUUUUCAAGAGACCUUAAAUAUCUAACAUUUUAUAAAUAAUUUCAUUUCUUUUUUACUUUUCACGUGGGACAUUGUUCUCUCAAGCACUCAUUAUACUGCUCCCUCUCAUCUUUUUAAUAUGUCGUUUAAUGUUUUAACACAAUCAUAUAUUAAGAUAAUUAUUUGACAAUCAACAUUAAUCAUUGGAGCUAGAAUAUUUGUCUAAAUUAUAAUUAUAUUUUUCCUAAAUUACAAUUUGAUUUAAUGAUAUAGUUACAUAAAAAUUGGUGAGACGUCAUAGUUUUAUAUCCUUAUAUAAUUAAUUUUAAGUGGUCCAAUCUUAAUUAGAAAUUGAAUAAAAACAAUAUACAAGCCAUGCAGGCAAGUUACAACUCACAAGUAUUAUGUAUGUAUAGUCUUUAUCAUUUCAUUAUAUACUUAAUUCAAUGAAUUGAUUAAUUCCAAAAUUUUAUUGUUCUUUUCCCUUUAAUGAAAUAAAAUAUCUAAGAAGAAAGAAUAAAAUGAAAAUGACAUGGAAUUUGUAUAAUAUAGUUUAAGGCCAGUUGGUAUAUAUAAAAACAAAAGUAAAUCCAAUAUAUUUUUGAUAAGUUAGAUAACAUGGGAGUAUAUAUUUGUGUGGGAGUAUAAAAUAAAUUAAUGUAUAUAUAUAUAUAUAUAUGUUCAUUGAUUUCUUCAUAUAUAUUUUGAUGUUAUUUUAAUUUUUUUUAAUGAAAAUUUUGACUCUACUAUUAACCUAAUCGUUAUAGAUCAAACUAAUUUUUAAUGGAUCAAAAAGUUGGGUAGAUUCUUUUUAAUGCAUCAAAAAGAAAAAUUAUUAUUAUUAUUAUUAUUAUUUUAAAAAUGACGUGGACCUCUAAUAUGUCGCCACGUGAAAAAGCUAUUUUCUAAAAACCGGCUGUUAAAAGUAAUGGCUUGGAUGAACCAGUUGUGUAACGGCGAUGGCAUGAAUGAACCCAACUUUUAACGAAUGACAUAAAUGAGUCAUUUCUGAUAGUUCAGUGACAUAUUUGAGCCUUUUUCCAUUUUAAAAUAGUUUAAAAUAUGGUAGAAAAAGUAAAAUAAAUCUUUUAUUUUUAUCUUUUCAAAAUUCAUAGAAAUUAAAUACAAAUUUAUUUCAAAAAAUUAUUCAGGACGAAGAAGCAUAGAAAAGCAAUUAAAGAAAAAAAGACGAGUUCAACAACUGCCCCUAAUUGACCAAAGAUUGGUGUAAGAAUCGUUGGGAAAUCAAGUUGACGUAGCCAGUUUUAUCUCGGGUGAAUUAAAAAGUUUGAAAGAUUAUGUCUGGGCUCCAAUUUUUGAGUUUUCUACAUAUCUCAGGUUUAAUGAGAAAAUAGGUCAUUUGUAGUUCGAAUCAUAGCAAAUUUUGAUUAGCCUAAAAAUUUUUCCCAGUGUAGAAUUAUGGUGACACUGAAUCCUUUCGAAGGUGAUUGCGAAGAUUUUAACAUGAAUGAAAUGGAUAUAACUGUGCUUAUAUCCUUGCAUUAGGUUCUUUGGGAUAGCUGAGAAUGAGAAGAUGCUGGACAAUAAUAUUUAUUGAGAAUUUCGAAAUGAAAAAAUUGUAGACUUUCGAAAACUGCCUCAGUGUCGAUUAAGACGGCACUGGGUGAUGACGCUAAAAGUUAAAAAAAUGUAAAAAUUAUGUUGAGUUGAGUUUCUUCCCAGGAAUUCUUGAAAUUCAGUCCCAAAAACCAUCAAUCAAGGCAUGAAUAAUCCAUUAAAAUAUGAAAUAAGUAAUUCAAGUAAUAACAAUGAAAAUCCCCUAACCCAAUUUCAAAUCCAUAAAUUAAAACACAUGAAUAUUGAUUAAAUAAAUGCCAAAAUAUGAAAUUUAAGUUAAGAAAUGAGAAUUAUGCCUGAAAUACUAAAGAAUUUGAAAAGAAAUCAAUGUUUGGAGCUUGAAUGGUGAAUCCUUCAUAAAACCCUUGAGCUUUCUUGGGUUGGGAGUUAGAGAAGAAAAAAUGGAGUUUGAUUUUUUAAAAAUGAAGGAAAAAAGGUCACUUUAAUGUUAUAAAGUCGUUUAAGGGGUAAAAGGGCCAAAAACCCCUCACCCCAAGUGAAAAAAUAAAAACUGAAUAAAAAAACAUACCGACAUUGCACGCUGCUAACGUAGAGCUUAGCCUCUGUGCCACACCCUUAUCACGGAGGCGAAUUAGCGUGUCAUACCACUAUCACAAAGGCUUACUACUUCAGGAUCCGAAAAUGACCCCGAACCCCUUCUAAAAAUUUUAAAACUUUCCCAAAAUACCUUUUUAACAUCCUUAAUCAUGAUUCAAGUGAAAAAUUGACAUCACACACGUGGGAGGAUAAAAAAUGAAUUCAUUGAAAUUUUGCGGGGUCUUACAUUAUCCCUCUUUUGGAUCAUUCAUUCCCGAAUGAGGAGUUAGGACAUUUUUUGCACGAUAAUGGAAAUAACACAUUAGAAUCCAAUGACAAAUUCAAAAUUCAAUAAUAGGGCAAAUGAAAACCAUACCUUAAGCAUUUUCAUUCAACAUAGGAAACAAGAAUGGGUACUUGGCUUUUAUAUCUUCCUCAGCUUCCCAUGUAGCUUUUCCACCUUUUGGUUUCUCCAAGGAACCUUCACUGAAGCUAUAUCCUUAGUCCUCAAUCUAUUAACUUGCCUAUCCAAUAUCUUAAUCGAGACUUCCUCAAAAGAUAACGAAUAUGUAUCACCAACAUCCUCAACAGGCACUAUUAAAAAAGGGUCAUAGAGCCCAAACUUGUUGGUAAAUCUAAUUUAUAUGCAAUGUUCCAAAUUUAGCUCACAAUCUAAUACAAACCAAUAUAACAGGGACUUUGCUUACCCUUUUCCCAAACCUCAUGGCUCAUUUCAUAGAAGAAACCUUCAAGAAUACCCAAUCGCUCACCUCAAAAUCCAACUCCCUUCGCCUCAUAUCCGCAUAAGACUUUUGGAAAUUUUGAGUAGUCUUAAGUCUCUCCCUAAUCACUUUCAACUUCUCCAUGGCUUGGCAAACCAAGUCAAGGAAAAGAAACUUAUUCUCACCUACCCCAAACCACCCAAUAGGACAGCUACAUCUUCUACCAUAGAGUGCCUCGAAAGAAGCCAUUUGAAUGCUAGAAUGAUAACUAUUAUUGUCAGUAAACUCAAUAAAAGUCAAAUAGUCAAACAAACUACCCUUAAAAUCAAUCACACAGGUCCUUAUCAUACAUUCCAAAGUCUGGAUGGUACACACCACUUGUCCAUCUAUUUGAAGGUGGAAAACGGUUCUAAGGUUCACAUGAGUACCCAAACCUUUCUUUAAUAAACGUCAGAAGUGAGAAGAAAAUUGCACACCCUGAUUUGAAAUGAUGGACACCGAUGCUCCAUGCAACUUAAAUAUCUCCUGUAUGAACAACUUAGCAUAAUACUCUUAUGAGUAGUUAAUCCUCACAAUCAAGAAGUGAGUAGACUUAGUCAUUCUAUCCACAAUGAUCAAAAUAGAAUCAUACUGAUUACGAGACCGCGGAAGACCGAUAAUGAAAUCCAUAUUAAUCAUCUCUUACUUACACAUAGGUAAUUCUAUCUCUUGAGACAUACCACUAGACCUUAAAUUCUCAAUCUUAACUUGCUGAUAAACUGUAAACUUAGCCACAAAGAUCACCAUAUCUCUCUUCAUAUUAUUCCACUAGUAGAUUUUCUUCAAGUCAUGAUACUUCUUGGUUAAACCAACAUAAACUAGAUAUCAAGACUCGUAAGCCCCAGUUAAAAUCUUUUCUCGUAGCCCAUCAACAUUGGGAACAGAGAACAUUCUUUGAUACCUCAGAAUGCCAUUUUCCUCAAUCUCAAAAGCCAUAACCAUUUGCUGACUCACUUCAUCCUUAAUCUGUAUAAGUAUAGGAUCAAAAAUCCAUUUCUCUUUCACCUCAGCACUAAGAGAUGAUUUAACCACUUUCUAAACAACCAUUUCUUCAUCCAUAGUGUCUAAAAGAUGAACUCCCAAGGUAGCCAAUAUAUGAAUAUCUUUCACCAAUCCUCUUUUCUUCUCAUCAACAUGAGAUAAGAUUCUAAUAAACAACCUUAUAAGAGCAUCAACUACCACAUUAACUAUAUUUGGAUUGUAGUGAAGGCACAUGUUGUAAUCCUUAAGUAGAUCGAGCCACCGCCUCUCCCCGAAGUUCAAUUCCUUCUGAAUCAACAGCAAUGGUCUGAAUAAAUAUCCACAUCACCCUAUACAGAUAAUAACACCACAUCUUCAAGGCAAAGACCACAACCGCCAACUCUAGAUCAUGGGUCAAGUAAUUUCUCUCAUGAACCUUUAGCUGCCUAGAAGAAUAGGCUACAACCUUACUAUGUUGCAUCAAAACACAACCCAGUCCCUCAUGGGACUAUCACAAUAUAUAACAAACCUAUUAGUACCCUCGGGAAGGGUAAAAAUUGGUGUAGAAGUCAACUUAUCCUUCAACUUUAGACCAUUAAAACUUAACCUUUUUCUAAGUUAACUUCGUUAGUGGAGAAACAAUAGAUGAGAAAAUCUCCACAAACCUCCUAUAUUAUCCUGCCAAACCUAAAAAUCUCCAAAUGUCAGUUGGAGUCAUGGGUUUAGUCCUUUUCUUAACUGCAUCAACUUUCUGUGGAUCUACCUUAAUCCCUUCACUAGAAAUAACAAGCCCAAAAAUUUCACAACACUUAGCCAAAAUUCAUACUUAGAAAAUUUUGUAUAUAAUUUCUAGUCCUUAAGAGUCCGCAACAAAAUUUGGAGGUGACUGGCAUGAUCCUCCUCACUGUUAGAGCCAAGAUGUCAUUAAUGAAUACUAUAAUAUCCAUGAAUGGAGCCGAAGAAUUAGUUAACCCAAAUGUCAUAACCAAUAACUCAUAAUGGUCGUAUCGGGUUUGGAAAUAAGUGUUUGGAAUAUCAACCUCCCUAAUUUUCAGCUCAUGGUAGCCUAAACGAAGAUCGAGUUUUGAGAAACAUUUAGCACCUUAAAGCUGAUCAAAGAAGUCAUCAAUCAUAGAGAUAGGAUACUUAUUUUUCACUGUAAUCUUAUUAAACUAUCGAUAAUCUGUAGACAUCCAAAGGGACCCAUUCUUCUUUCACACAAAAAGUAAAGGAGCACCCUGCAGAGAAACACUAGGACAGAUGAAAACCUUAUUAAGAAGAUCCUUUAACUGCUCUUUUAGUUCCUUUAGUUUAGUUUGAUCCAUCCUAUAAGGAGUGGAAAUGGUAUCGGUAUCUGGUAGAAAAUUAAUCCUAAUUUACUUCUAUAUCGGAAGGAUAGGGAAAAACUUUAGGAAACUCAUCAACCAGAUGAUAGAUUGCAAAGAGAGACUUUUAGAGCUAGAAUCCUUAACCCAAACCAGAUAAUAUAGACGCCCUAUGGAUAUUAUUUAUUGAGCUCUAAGAUAAGAAAUAAACUUCUCUUUGGGCACUAAGGAACUCCCUUCCUAUUUAAUUACUGGUUUAUUUGGAAAAUAGAAACUGACCUUUCGAGUUCUAUAAGCUAAAGAAGAAUAGCAUUAAUGGAGCCAAUCCAUCGCCAAGAUUACAUAAAAAUCCAUCAUAUCAAGUUCUAUAACAUCCAGUAAUGUCUUUCUAUGAAGAAUGGACACCACACAACCCCUAAAAAUUUUUCUAGCAAUAAUAGGAUCACCUACUGGAGUAGACACAGAAAAGGGGUCAAAAAUAUUUCUAGAACUAAAAUCAAUGUGUAAAGAGACAUAAGGGGUCAUAUAAGAUAGGGUAAAACCCAGAUCAAUUAAACAAUAAAAACUACAAGAGAAGAGUUGUAACAUAAAUUGAUAAUGUUUGGUGAUGCCUCAGAUUCUUGAUGAGUAGCAAGUGCAUAGAGGUGAUUUCGACCAUUUUCGGUGCCUGAUGUGGUGCCCUUAGGUAGAGGAGCCGAAGAAGUUGAGAUCAGAAACUUAUUAGCUUCAGUGAAAACUUUAGUUAUCAGACAAUUUCAAUGCAAAUAACCAGGAAAACCACAAUUAAAAUAUAAAUUCCUUCCCUUCCCAUAAUAUCCAUAGUGAAGGUCCACAAAAUCAAUAAAGGAGGUAAGGUGGGGUCGACUGAGCUCCACUAACUUGAGACUGAAAACUGUUCCUUAGGACCACCACUAGCCUGAAAAUAACAAUCAUCGAUGACUGAGGAUAAGGAGCACUAACUGUCAAAUAAGAACUUUCCCAAUUCUUUUUCUUAGUCCAAUGUCUACUAUCCCUUCUUAUAAUACCCUAAACUUUUCCUUAAGCCUAAUUUCAUCUCUAGAGGGUUAAGAAAUGACUUCCCAAGUGAUUAACAUUUAAACCAUAUGGAUUUUCCCUAAUUUUAACUUUUUAUCAUGUGGGAAAUUUAAUUAGCUUUCCAACGAUAUAAGAUCCGCCCAAAUUCGAUAAACGGAUAAGAAGUUAUGGCUAAUAUAAGUUCUAGUCGUAAAACACCAUCAUUUUAGUGUUUGGUGUGUCGCGGAGAGGGUCUAUUUAACAAUUGUCAAAUUGCAGUAGAACUCCGCAAUAGUGGCGCAUCACGGAGGACCCCAAUUUCCCAAUAGUUAAUUUUCAGUGGCCUAGCACGAUCGUGACGCAUCGCGCUGAACUUCCAGAUCCCUACCGUGGGAUAACGCGAUGGCUUUACAUUGUGGUGCCUCCCAGAUUCCGAUUUUUCAAUUUCCAGUGAGCCACCGCGAUAGUGGCGCAUCACGGUGGCCCAUAAAAUUGGGUUUCCAGUUUAAUUUUUCCAGUUUUAUAAAGAAGUUAAAAAAGGCACUUUGGACUUUUUCCAAGCUUCUUAAACUAUUCAAACAUCAAAAUUUAGGGCCACUACAAGCAUCAUAUGAGAUUUUUCAAAAUUUCCCUCAAUCGAAAACCCUAAGUAUCCAAAAUCCUCUUCUAAGAAUCUCAAGGGUUCACCAUAGAUUUUCUAAAUUGAGUCAAGAUUCAAGAACCCUCAUUCAAGGGCACGACUAGAGUCCCAAAAGUGAAAGUUCAUCCAAAGCUUCCAAUUCAAGGUAUGUGGGGUUUGGACAAGAACAAUCCUUUCAUUUUUGUGCCUAAAUUAUUGAUUUUUAAUAAAGAAUUUCAUAUUUUUGCAAGCGGAUUUAUACUCAAAUUACUUUAUUUUGAGAUUAUGAGAUUACGAGUUGUUCAAGUUUUGAUUUGCAUGAUUAUUUCACUAUUUUAUGGCAUGAGUUGAGAAAUUAUGCUAUGAGUUGCACAUCAUCGUAUUGAUUUGAUAUUUUCAAGAUUGAUGUUGUGAUUUAAGCUUUAUUAUGAAACUGAGAUUAUUUGAUCAUGGGUAUAAGUUUUAAACCAAGUAUGAGUUUUGAUGUUUCUUGAAGAGUAUGUUGUUUAGUAUGAUUAAAUCAACAAGUACUUUGAGUUUAAAGAAAGAUUGCUUUGAAGCCUGAGUUAAGACAGGAAUCCACAUUAUUCAGUCUUUAUGAUUUAAAGCUAAGAGAAUUAUAAUUUGGUUUUCACUAUAGACCCUUGAGUUAUUUUGAGGUGGAUUUUCUAAAAAUGCUGAGCUUGAGUACGGGAGUAGUAUUUAGCACCGAGCGGGAAGUGCAGGUUUAGUGCAUCCUACUUUUCUAGAACUACGUGCCCUUGUAGGAUUGAGAUUUAUGGGCCUGAGGCCAAGAUAGUGAUCACUAGAGUUGAGGUUCUAUUUUGAUGGCAAGGGUAGAACAACUCUCCCCAAUAUGGGUGAGACAUUGGACUCCAUGUAGUUCACAUGGUUUAUGUCGAAUAGAAGAAACUCCCAAAUUUAUAAGAGUCUAGAGUUUUUUUCCAUGUCUUGAAGUUUCUAAAGUUCUAAGUCCUUGAGUUUCAAAGAAGUUCCAUUCUCCUCAAGAUGAAAUCAUGAGUUUAGAAAGCAUAGUUUAAAGAUUCCCUUAGCUUACAAGUUUUGAGAAUGAGAGAAGAAUAUAGAUUUUUGAGUUAAAGUAUAAUGACUCACGAGAUUUGUACUACAUGUUUCAUUAUUCCUGAUUUAAUAGAUUUAUGUUUCAGACUUAUUCAAGCCAUGUGAGUAUUCAUAUUUGCAUGCUAGAUUUUAUAAAGAGUAAUGAUAUUGUUUAUGUAAAUGCAUACACUCCCAUAUACUCAGUAAAUCCUCAAAGUGCUGAUCCACAUAUAGGUCUAUGUGCUGUAUUGUCUUAUAAUGUAGGUUCAGGUGCUCAGUCUCAACAUCGUUAGUGAUCUCCGAGUACCUUGAUCUACACUCUGCAGUUGGUGAGUCCUCAUAGUUUGAGGAUCUAUUUCUCAGAUCCUCAUAUUUGAUAUCAGUAUUUAUUUCUUUUCAAUUAAGUAUGAGUCAGUUGGGGAUUUGUCCCAAUGGCUCUCUAGAUCUUGAGUAGUAGAGGCUUUGUCAGACUAGAGUUUUAGAUGUUUGUCAGAUAUUUUUAGUAUUUUGUGUUUUUGACAUUAUAUUUUCAGUCUUUUCAAUUGAGAUUUAUUCUUAUUAUCUGAUUUUGAAUCCCUGGAGUAAAUAUGAGAUUUAGUAGUAGUCUCAAAGGGUUAGGUUAAGGCUACUUGUAGCAUUGAGCAUCGUGUGAUGCUUUGGGAUAAGAUUUUGAGGCGUUACAAACUUGGUAUCAGAGCCUAAGGUUUAAGGAGUCCUAGGGAGUUUGAAAAGCCAUGUUACGUAGAGUCUUGACCAUUGGUAUGAAACGCGCCACAUCUAUGAGCAAGAGGCUACGAGAUAUUUUAGGAAAAGUCAUCUAUUUCUUUUAGAGUUUAUCGUGCCUAUAACUAUCUCUAUCUGCUAUUAAUUCGUGCUCUUAUAUGAUAGAAAAUGCCUCCCCAAAGAGAAAAUGCCCAUAGGAAUAAUGAGCCACCUUAACCUGUUGAUCCCCUGAAUGAGAAUGCGACCCAUGCCGAAUUUUGGGCUACUUUCCAGACUUUUGCCCAAGCGGUGACUGCUAUUAUGCAGGAAAAUAAUCUGGUUGCUGUUUUAUGUCAGUAAGGGGUUGACGUAGCCACAGCCAGGCUUCGUGACUUUAUGAAGAUAAACCCACCCGAGUUCUUUGGGUCAAAUAUAGGUGAGGACCCACAGUUGUAUCUUGAGGAGGUGAAAAAAAUCACCCAGGUUAUGCAUGUGAAUGAGGAAGAGAGUAUAGAACUAGCCUCUUAUCAUUUGAAAGAUAUUGCUCAUGAAUGGGUUGUGGCAUGGAGGAAAAAUAAAGGGGAGAAUGCUGCUCCUAUAACUUGGCAGGUGUUCCAAGAUGCAUUCCUGGAUGAUUUUUUUCUGUUAGAGAUGAGGGAGGCAAAGGUAGAAGAAUUUAUAAACUUGAGGCAAGGCUCCAUACUGUAAAGGAGUACUGCCUUAAGUUCAACUAGUUGGCCAAGUAUGCUCCUGAGUUGAUAGCUAACACUAGAUUUAGUAUGAGUAAGUUCGUGACUGGUGUGUCCGGGUUGGUGUUGAAGGAGUGCAUAACUGCUAUGCUAAAUAAAGCUAUGGAUCUUUCUCGAUUGAUAACACAUGCUCAGCAGAUUGAGACUGAUAAGAUAGGGGAGAGAGAUAGGGUAAGGGGAAACAAGAGAGCUAAAUUAGAGCAAUAAAGUAUGUCUAGACUAGAUCCCAUGGAGGGAACGUCCUCAGUUUCAAAACCGUUCAUUUAUGCCUGCACCAUCAUCAGCUAGUGCUCCCGCACCUAUAUGUAGGCAAAAGUAGAGGAAUAGACCUUCUAUGUCUAAAUUCUAGAACUAUGUGAGUAAUAGACCUCGUGGUCCUCCAUACACUAAGUGUGGUAGGAACCAUCCUGAUGAGUGCUUAGCUGAUUAGAGGGGUUGUUUUAGUUGUGGUAAGUUAGGCCACAAACUUAGAAAGUGUCCGCAUGCCAGGUAGGGGAACCUUGAUGUUAGCCCCCAAAUGCAAGCUACCAAUGCACCAGCUCCUUUAUCCCGUCCCGCUCCCCCUUAGGGUGCUUCAUCUAGUACCGGUGGCGGUCAGUGCUAGAACUGAUUCUAUGCUUUUCUGGUAUUCACCAGAUAUGGUUACUGGUAUGCUUUGUAUCUUUCAUUUUGACGUGUCUGUAUUGUUGGACCCUGGGUCAAGUUUUUCUUAUGUGAUACCAUUGGUUGCUGUGAAUUUUGAGAUAAACUCUGAAAAAAUCCUUGAGCCUAUCCUAGUAUCUACCCCAGUAGGUGAGUCAGUUAUUGCUAAGCAAGUGUAUAAAAAGUGUCCCAUUGUUGGUCUUCAUAAAGUCAUGUUUCCUGAUUUGAUAGAGUUAGACAUGGUCGAUUUUGACCUUAUUCUGGGUAUGGAUUAUCUUCACUCCUGUUAUGUAUCUAUAGACUGUCGUACCCGUGUGGUUAAGUUUCAAUUUCUAGAUGAGCCAUUUUUUGAGUGGUCGGGUGGUUCUGUAUCUUCGAAGAGUUAGUUCAUAUCCUAUCUUAAAGCUAGAAAGUUGAUAUCCAAAGGUUGCAUUUAUCAUCUAAUUCGAGUUAAGGAUACUAAGUCUGAAACUCUAACUAUUCAGUCAGUCAAUAUAGUUAAUGAGUAUCCUGAUAUUUUUCUGAAAAAUUUCCCAAGGGUACCUCUCGAUAGAGAGAUAGAAUUUAGGAUUGACGUUCUUUCUGAUACACAACCUAUUUCUAUUCCUCCUUACCGUAUGGCACCCGUAGAGCUUAAGGAGUUGAAAUAACAACUCAAAGAUCUUCUAGAUAAGGUUUUAUAAGGCCCAGUGUCCCUCAAUGGGGCGCACCUGUCCUGUUCGUGCGAAAGAAAGAUAGUUCUUUGCGUAUGUGCAUUGACUAUCUUCAGCUUAAUAAAGUUACAGUUAAGAAUAAGUACUCUCUUCCGAGAAUAUAUGACCUGUUUGAUCAAUUGCAAGGUGCAAGUUAUUUCUUCAAGGCAGACCUUAGAUCCGGCUAUCAUCAACUUAAAGUAAGCGAGUGUGAUAUCCCUAAGACAGCCUUCCGAACUCGUUAUUGUCAUUUUGAGUUUCUUGUCAUGUCUUUCGGGCUAACCAAUGCUCCAGAAGCUUUCAUGGAUCUCAUGAAUCGAGUGUUCAAAUAGUAUCUUGAUAUAUUCGUCAUAGUAUUCAUAGAUGAUAUCCUUGUUUACUCUCGUAGUAAGGAUGACCAUGCAGAUCAUCUCCGAGCUAUUUUGCAAACUUUUAGAGAUCAUCAGUUGUUGGCCAAAUUCAGUAAGUGUGAGUUUUGGCUAAGGUCCGUAUCCUUUGUGGAUCAUAUCAUUUCAGCCAAAGGCAUUAGAGUCGAUCCCUAAAAGAUAGAAACUGUGAGAAAUUAGCCUAGACCUAUCUCUCUAUCCGACAUUAGGAGUUUCUUGGGUCUAGAUGGCUAUUACCACCAUUUUGUUAAAGGUUUCUCAUCUAUUGCAUCUCCCAUGACCCAAUUGACCCAAAAUAAAGUUAAGUUUCUUUGGUCAAAUUCUUGUAAGAAGAGUUUUCAGGAGUUGAAGACUCGACUCAUUUCAGCCCCGGUGUUGACUUUGCCUGAUGGUAUAGAUAGUUUUGUGGUGUAUUGCGAUGCCUCUAGAGUUGGCUUGGGUUGUGUGUUGAUGCAAAGGGGUAAGGCUAUAUCCUACACCUCUAGACAGUUGAAGCCGCAUAAAAAAAAAUUACCCAAUCCACGAUCUUGAGUUAGCUACUGUGGUCUUUGCUUUGAAAAUAUAGAGACACUAUCUUUAUGGUGUUCAUGUUGAUAUGUUUACUGAUUAUAAGAUUCUGCAGUAAUGUUUACUUAGAAGGAUUUAAAUCUUAGAUAGAGGAGAUGGUUAGAGUUGCUAAAAAAUUAUAAUAUGAGUGUGUUAUAUCUCCUGGGAAAGGCUAAUGUAGUGGCGAAUGCCCUUGCAGGAUGUCCACGAGUAAUGUUACUCAUGUAGAGGAAGACAAGAAAAAGUUAUCUCAUGAAGUGCAUCAUUUGAUUAGAUUGGGCAUUAGGUUGCUUGGUUCCGUAGAGGGGAAUAUUUUGGUUCAGAGUAGUUUCGAAUCCUCUUUAGUUUUGAAAGUGAAAGAGAAGCAAGACAGGGAUCCCAGUUUGGUCAGACUAAAAAAGUUACUUAGGGACCAAAAGGUAGAGGUUUUCUUCCAAGUGGGAGAUGGUGUGUUGAGAUUAUAGGGUAGAUUGUGUGUUUCUUUUGUUGAUGAUUUGAGGUAGAGAAUUAUGGCUGAAGCGCAUGGCGCAUGGUAUUUCAUUCAUCCCGGUGCCACCAAGAUGUACCACGACUUGCGAGAAAUCUAUUGGUGGAGUGACAUGAAGAAAUAUAUAGCGGAGUUUGUGGUGAAGUAUGCAACUUGCUUACAGAUUAAGGUAGAGCACCAAAGGCCUAGUAGUGUAAUGCAAGAAUUUAGUAUGCCUACUUGGAAGUGGGAAGAGGUGAACAUAGAUUUUGUGACUGAUUUACCUCUUUUACAUCAUCAUCAUGAUUCUAUCUGGGUUGUGGUAGAUAGGAUGACUAAGACAAUACAUUUCUUUUCUGUACAUACAUCUUAUACAACUGAGGAUUAUGCUAGAUUAUAUAUUCAGGAGUUAGUCGAAUUGCAUGGAGUCCCCUUGUCUAUCAUCUCAAAUAGGGGUACUCAGUUCACCUCCUAGUUUUGGAAAGCUUUUAAGAGAGGUCUUGGUACCCAAGUGCAUCUUAGUUCCACUUUUCAUCCUCAGUCGAUGGUCAGGCUGAGAGUACCACUCAAACCUUAGAGGAUAUGUUGAGGGCAUGUGCUUUGAUUUCAAGGGUAGUUGGGAUGAGCAUUUGCUAUUGAUUAAGUUUGCCUAUAACAAUAGUUACCAUGCUAGCAUCAAGAUGGCACCUUUUGAGGCAUUAUAUUGGAGGAGGUGUAGAUCACCUAUAGGUUGGUUUGAAGUAGGUGAAUCUGCUUUGGUUGGACCUGAUGCAGUGUUUGAGGCUAUGGAGAAAGUGAAGUUGAUUAGAGAAAGGUUGAAGGCAGCUCAGAGUCGUCAAAAGUCAUAUGCAGAUGUGAGAAGAAGAAACCUUGAGUUUAAAGUUAAUGAUUUGGUGUAUCUAAAAAUUUUGCCCAUGAAAGGGGUGAAAAGGUUUGGCAAAAAGGGGAAGCUUAGUCCCCGGUAUAUGGGCCCCUAUAGAAUCCUAAGUCAUGUAGGGAGAGUAGCCUAUGAGCUGGAGUUGCCCGUAGAGUUGUCAGCUAUGCAUCCUAUCUUUCAUGUCUCCACGCUUAAAAAGCACAUUGGUAAUUUCGUUGUAGUGGAUCCUUUGGAGAGCCCUGAUAUCUCGACUAGUCUUUCAUUUGAAGAGAUUCUAGUUGAGAUUCUAGACCACCAGAUCUGUAGACUGAGGAACAAAGAGGUUACCUUGGUCAAAGUGUUAUGGUGAAACCAUUCAGUCGAGGGUGCUAUUUGGGAAGCCGAGGCGGAUAUGCAAUCCAAGAACCCGCAUCUCUUCUCCGCGAGUUCAGAUCAAGCCGAAGGUACUAUUCUUCCUUAAUUCAGCCCCUUUCUCCAAUUAAAGUUUCUGCUAUAUAUAGCUAUCCUUAAUAUAAGUUGAUGCAUUAUCAAAGGUAUUCAAGAGUUUAAAAUGAUGUGGAGUCAGUUUAGCAAGUUGUUUCAGCUGUGCAUACUCAGUUUUCUCUGUAUCCUUAGCCUAACUAGCGACAAUCGAGGGCGAAUGUUCCCAAGGGGGAGAUAUUGUAAUACCCUAAACUUUUCCUUAAGCCUAAUUUUGUCUCUAAAGAGUUAAGAAAUGACUUCCUAAGUGAUUAACGUUUAAACCAUAUGGAGUUUCCCUAAUUUUAACUUUUUAUCAUGUAGAAAAAUUAAUUAGCUUUCGAACGAUAUCAGAUCCGCCCAAAUCUGAUAACCGGGUAAGAAGUUAUGGAUAAUCUAAGUUCUAGUCCUAAAACACCGUCAUUUUAGUGUUUGGUGCAUUGCGGAUAGGGUCUAUUUAAUAAUUGUCAAAUUCCAGUGGAACUCCGUGAUAGCGGCGCGUCGCGGAGGACCCCAAUUUCCCAAUAGUCAAUUUUUAGUGGCCUAGCACAAUCGUGGUGCCUCGCGCUGAAGUUCCAGGUCCCAACCAGUGGGACAACGCAAUGGCUCCGCAUUGUGGUGCCUCCCAGAUUCCUAUUUGUCAAUUUCUAGUGAGCCACCGCGAUAGUGGCGCAUAGCGGUGACCCAUAAAAUUGGGUUUCCAGCAUCAUAUGAGAUUUUCUCAAAAUUUUCCUCAACCAAAAACCCUAAGUAUCCAAAUCCUCUUCUAAGAAUCUCAAGGGUUCACCAUAGGUUUUCUAAAUUGAGCCAAGAUUCAAGGUUCUCAAGUCAAAGGCUUUAAGAAACCUCAUUCAAGGGUACGAAUAGAGUCCCAAAAGCGAGAGUUCAUCCAAAGCUUCUAAUUCAAGGUAUGUAGGGUUUGAACAAGAACACUCAUUUCGUUCUAGUGCCCAAAUUGUUGAUUUUUAUUAAAGAAUUUCAUAUUUUUACAAGCGGGUUUAUACCCAAAUUACUUUAUUUUGAGAUUAUGAGAUUACAAGUUGUUCAAGUCUUGAUUUGCAUGAUUAUUUCACUAUUUUAUGACAUGAGUUGAGAAAUUAUGCUAUGAGUUGCACAUCCUCGUAUUGAUUUGAUGUUUCCAAGAUUGAUGUCAUAAUUUAAGCUUUAUUAUGAAACUGAGAUUAUUUGAGCAUGAGUAUAAGUUUUAAACCAAGUAUGAGUUUUGAUGUUUCUUGAAGAGUAUGUUGUUUAGUAUGAUUCAAUCAACAAGUACUUCGAUUUUAAAGAAAGAUUGCUUUGAAGCCUGAGUUAAGACAGGAAUCCACAUUAUUCAAUCUUUAUGAUUUAAAGCUAAGAGAAUUAUAAUUUGGUCUUCACUAUAGACCCUUGAGUUAUUUUGAGGUGGAUUUCCUAAAAAUUCUGAGCUUGAGUACAGGAGUAGUAUUUAGCACCGAGCGGAAAGUGUGGGUUUAGCGCAUCCUACUUCCCCAGAACUACGUGCCCCUGUGGGAUUAAGAUUUAUGGGUCUGAGGCCGAGAUAGUGAUCACUAGAGUUGAGUUUCUAUUCCGAUGGCAAGGAUAGAACGGCUCUCCCCAACGUGGGCGAGACGUUGAACUCCAUGUAGCUCACAUGGUUUAUGUCGGUUAGAAGAAACUCCCAAAAAGGAUCAUGAACAUAAGAGUUUAAACCAUUAUCCUGAACUAUGUAGCUUGCUCCGUCCUAAAGGCAACCACGAGCUAUAUGGGCCCAUCUUCCCCCGCUGGAAGGGCCCUAGUGUAUGUUAGCCGCACGAAUCAAGAAAUGGAUAAAGACACCAAGGAGAUAGCCAUCCAAAAUAUAAUAUGCAUCCAGACACAUGGUCAUAUAUACCCCCAUACUGAAAAAUAUGAUUUUCAGUGUUGGUCACUUCGGGACACACCUUUACGGUGAGCUAAACAAUUCCCUUUAAUCCAAAAUUAAAACAGUUUGCACAUAAACCCGACCAUUAACCAAGGAGUCAUUUAUUAAGGAAUUUAACAACAUGGUAUCGUCAUACUAAUAUGCUUGUAAGCUAAUUCAGUUAUACCAAACCAGUCCAUAUAAUCGUUAGACUCCCAAGUUUUAUUUAAAAUUCAAAACCAUGACCAUUUAGGGCAUUCCAAAACUAUUUUUUUAUCCAUUUAUCCUUUAAUGCAAUACAAUGUUCCAAAGGUAAGUUAAAUUAUGAAAAUAUCCAUAUUUCAAAAUCAAUUUUACAAGGUGGGUUGAGGUAAUGUCAUUACUGUAGACAUCUAAUUUUGUCCCUUCCGAAAACCCUAAUUAUUCAUAUUUACUCUCAUCUUACCAGGUGUCCUACCCCGUGUAAUAAUCCUUUCACAAAAAGAUAAAAAUAACAAUCUUCUAACAACUUUUGAUACCUUACUCACACCCCUACCCACGUGUUCACCCUACCCUAGGUGUACCCCCAACCUCUUUGAUCACAUUUUUUCUUUCCAGGACCCAGCUACAUAUGAAAAAACAUACAGAAUGCGCAUAUAGACCCUUAGAUAGAGACAAAACAAAAAUAGAAAAAAGGAAGGGCCCACAGUGAAGGACACUCACAGAGUUCCAUUCCAUCACCACUCACCCCCCUCAUAUUUUUUCUUUCCUUUUUAAACAAAAAUAGACACAAUCCAUUUUUUUAUCACUGACAUCACUCACAAACCUUCGUCUUCUUCUCCAUACGAUAGAACACUAUAUAUGCACACAUAAUUUUCAUGGAACCUUUAACACAGAACCUCACCAUAUAUGCACAAACCCCUCACAGACACCAGCGUCCCUCUCCAUAAUUUUUCACACAACAAAAUUGCACACACACACUCACAUCUCUCAGAUUUACACACAAAAAUCACACACAUACACAUAUAAUUACCGCCAUAUACGAAAUCACCAGAAAACACACGCACACAUGCAUGCAGUAAGAAGAAAUGAGAUCAUGGAGGGUAUCUGAUGGAGGUUCGACGAUGAAACAGGGAAAACGGCGAGAAAUUCGGAUCCCUUUUGAGCUUUUUUCGGCAACACCUACACCAGAAUUAGUUUUUCCAUCGUCAGUUCGAUCGAAUCAGUCUCAUAAUCACGGAAAUAUCUUGAUCUUUCUUUGAUUUAGGGACAUCUUGGUCGGAAAAUGCAAGGUUUCACCGGAAUCCGUCUUGUUUUGUUGGUUUUUUGCCCUUCGUACCUUACCGGAGUUCGGAUUUGGACUGAUCUUUAGUUCACUAUUAGAUUUUGGGGCUUCUGGUUCGUCUAUUUUCUUGAUUCGUUCUUGAUCUCGUGCUUUGGGGUUUUUCGUGAUUAAAUCGUGUCUACAUUCGGAGUUUGGAUUUUAUGUUCGAGGUUUUUCUUCUUGGUUUGAAUUCUGUUCGGAUGGCGAUGUCGGGACACUGAUUUGGUGUGUUCGUCGUUGGGUUCCCUAUUCGAGGAUUUUGGUUUUGGAUUUCUUUAUUAUCGACGAAAACUUUCUUUAUUAUCGACGAAAACGAGUUCUAUUGAGGUCCAUUUCUUUAACCCAUUCUCAUUUUCUUUAUCUUGAUUUAUUGAAUUAGCUAUGAUUAUGUGUUUAUUGAUCAUGAUUGAAAUUUGAUGAUUUGGUAAAUGUUUGAUGUUGAGCAAUUGAUUGUGAUAUGAGUUUUGAUGUUAAGACAUGGAUAAUUGUCUCGUGAAAGUUGUAUGUUUAAAACGUAAUUUGGGGUGGAAUUAAGAAGUUGAUAAAAUAGUGAAUUUAGAUUAACUUUGGGUUUAUUGUUGUAUUCGAAAUAAGCAUGAAUGUCGUUGGAAUGCGAUGAAAUUAUGAUAUGUUGAAAUGGAUAGGUAAAUGUAGGUUCGGGUAGGCAAAUUUAGAACUUGUGUUUGGUUGAAUGCUUGAAUAUGCAUGGGGAUGUUUCUUUCUAGUUUAUCGUAUUUGAUUCAAGUAUAUUUAUUUGGCCGGGGAAUGCCCUGAGGUUUCAUGUAUUUAUUCACCGGGGAAUGCCCUACGUAUUCUGUCUUCGAAGGAGGUUCGUGAUCAAGGCCCGAGGCAUCGGGUAAAGCAUUGGAGCUUAGUCUAGGACUAGUUUAGAAUAGGUUUUAUAUUUUUCGUAUUUUUCUAUUUCGGACUGUAUAUCGGACUGGACACCAAAUUUUGGAUUAUUUUGUUUUGUUUGGUUGAUUGAUUAUUUUGCAUGUUUUGUGUGGUUUAUACAUUCGUAAUGGCAAAUUAGCUAAUUUGCUCCACCAAGCGACCGUGGUCGAACCAUGAAAUCGAGGGGUGCCUAACACCUUCCCCUCGGUCAACAGAAUUUCUUAGCCGAAAUCUUUGUUCGUGGAUCAGUUUUUAGAGUCAAACUAUUUUGAAAAAGGAUUUUCAAAGGUGACUUGGCACACCAAAUUUAUGUCAAAUGGAGAUUCUAAAUUUAAAUGUAAAAGAUCUUUUUCGAAAUAAAUUUUUAUUUUUGUCACUUAAUAAUAAAAAUUCUUUUAAAACUUUAAAAUCAUAAUCUUUUUUUAGUUAAAAAAGAGGUGUGACAAUUACCAAGCCAAAAUCCCAUCUAUUUGGGGAAACCCAUGUCACCCAUUCCAAUAUAUUUCAUAAUGCACUAAUUCAGUUCCAAAAACCAUCAAUUAAAGCAUGGAUAAUCCAUUUAAAAUAUGGUAAAAGAAAUUCAAGUAAAAAUAAUAAAAAUACCUCAACAUAAUUUCAAACCCAUCGAUUAAAACACAUAAAUAUAGAUUUAAUAAAUGUCACAAUAUAAAAUUUAAGAAGAAAUGAGAAAUAUUCUAGAAAUACCAAAGAAUUUGUAGAGAAAUCGAAGUUUGGAGCUUAAAUAGUGAAUUCUCUAUAAAAUCCUUGAGCUUUCUUGGGUUGUGAGUUAGACAAGAAAAGAAUGGAGUUUGAUCUUUUAAAACGAAUAAAAAAGGGUCACUUUAAUUUUAUAAAGUCGUUUAAGGGAUAAAAGGACCAAAGUCCCUUCACCCCAAGAGAAAAAAAUUGGAUGAAACAUACAUAACAGCGUGGCACGCUGCUAUCGUGGAGCUUAGCUUUCGUGCUAUGCCCUUAUCGCGGAGGCUAAGUGGAGUGGAAUGCCACUAUCACGGAGGCUUAUUGCCUCAGAGUCCAAAAAUGACUCCGAACUCCUUCCAAAAAUUUUGGAACUUUUUCAAAACACCCUUUAACACCUCUAAUCAUAAUUCAAGUUAAAAAUUAACAUUACGCACGCGGGAGGAUCAAAAGUGAAUUUAUUGAAAUUUGGCUGGGUUUAUCAGUUGGUGUUUUUCCAAAAUUUGCCCCAAUUUUGGUAGUGUAGAAAGUAUCUAAAUUUUGUUGUGAUGAGACCGAACCUUAUAUAGGUUGCCUGCAUAUCUCACUGAGAGAAUUGGUCAGAACAUAGUUCAAGAUACAUAAAAAUAAUUUGAAGUUUUUCUAAUAAAGGGUUGAACCCUCUAUGUGUUGCCUAUAUAUCCCUUCUAUGGAAUCAGGCUAAGGUUCGUAGGCAAGUUGAAUUUCCCCCGUCUUGAUUAAGGAAUCAAUCUUAUUUUUAAGACCAUAACAAUCUUCUAUGUCAUGCCAAACAACUCUAGAAUAAUAUGCACAAUACUUGGAACCAUCAAACUAUUUUGGAAUUGGAUCUGGGAUCUUUCCUUCAAUGGGUUGUAUCAGGCCUGCUGUUUUCAACCUUUCAAAUAACUGAGCAUGUCGGUAAACUAUUUUUGUACAUUUACAAGUGGUUUUGGUUUCAUGAUUUAGAUGGGCCUUGGGUGCAGUAUAUAUGCGACUUUGGUGGGCUAGAGCUUGGACAAGUAGAUAUGGAUGUGGAGUUUGGAAAGUAAGGGCUCGAGGUUGGUAAUAAUUUACAUGGGUGUUGUAGAAAAGAUAAGUAGUUGGUGGAGGAUAGUAAAACAUUUAGGAAUUUUCACCAUAUUAGUAAGGAUAAAUGAGUUGAUGUGGUUGAUUUAGGUAGAUAGAAGUCUGACUUGGAUUGUAUCUUUGGUCAAUCAUGGCAACAGAUACAUCUUCCUUCUUCUUCUUAUUCCCAUUGAUAGAACCAUAUUUAAUUGCUUUGCCUGCAGCUUGCAAGGAAGUAUAGUCUUGGAUUCUCCUUGACUAAUCCCAUCUUCCAAGAUUUCUCCCAUUCUAACAACUUCCGUGAACUUUUGUUUCAUCGUGGUUAUUAUUUUUUCAUAGUACAAACUAUUAUCUUGGCAUUCAAUAAAUAUGACAGUCAUUUUACUUUCACUCAUCAUUGGUUGGACUUUAGCUGCUUCUACCCUCCAACUCAGUGCAUACUUUUGAAAUCUCUCAGACAAUUUCUUUUUCAACUUGGCCAAGCAGAACCUGUCUAGUAUGAUUUCAAUGUUGAAUUUGAAUCAAUCCUUGAAGUAUUGUGCCAUAUCAUUCCAUCCACGCUAUUUAUGAAGAUCUUAUUGUAUGUACAAAGUGAGAGCUUCACCAGACAAACUUCUUAUAAACAACUUCAUUCUGAUCAUUUUAUUUCGCUCUACUCCUACCAACAAUGGAUGGUUUGCUUGGUCUUUUUUCAAAGACCCCUAAUUUUUUCUCUCUUUAGCGAAACCCUAAUAUUUUUUUAUGAGUGAUUUAGGCCGCCAUGGCCUCAACGUUCGGUGGGCUUCCCUCACCGGCGAAUCUCAUGCAUGGAAAGGAUGACAAAAGCAAUGCUAAUAUACGGGAAGGGAAUAUGAAAACUAAUGCCAAUUUGUUGAAAUCUCGAGUGGACACUAGUAAAGAGUAAAUAUUGCCGAAGUUUGUUGAGAUAAUUUAAGAAGAACCAUAUAUUACAUGAAAAUCAUUAGAGAUUAACAAUUUAACAAUACAAGAAAACAUACAAUAUGCAGUAAUUGGUAAGUUUUCUUAUGGCAAACUUGACAUUAUUGAGCUGCAAAAAAAUAUACCGAUUCAGUAUGGCAUUAAGGGAGAUUGUAACAUAGGAGUAUUGGAUUCAAGGCAUAUACUUAUCAAAUUAAGUAUUAUGGAAGACUAUGUGAACAUUAUAUCUACUGUUGCAUACUAUAUAAAGGUUAUGGAGAUGCAAUGGCAGAUGAGGACCCUUAAAUGGGAUCCGAGGUUUGAACCUGUUGUGGAAACAAUAGUAGUUAUAGCAUAGAUAUCAAUGCUUGAUCUUCCACGUAAUUAUUUUUGCAAAAGAAGCAAUAUUUUCAAUUGCUUCAACUAUGGGUAAGCCUUUAACGGUAGAUAUGGCAACAAAGAAUCAAAUACGACCAAGUUGUGCAAGAGUAAAGGUAGAAGUAGAUCUAAUUGCUACAUUACCUCAAAGAGUGAAGAUUUGUGAAGAAGAUGAUGUCAUAGGGAUGGAGAAAUCUAAAUAGAUAAAUAUUCAGUAUGAUUACAAUCCUGAAUACUAUAAAAAAUGUUGUCUUCAAGGUCAUAGUGAACAAUUAUGUUGGAAUAUUCAUCCAGAAUUAUUCAAAAUACAGAAGGAGGACCAAGCUGAAAAUUCUAAGGUUCAAUCCACAGGAAAACACAUCAAGAAGAAUGGACAAAUGGAGAAGGUAGGAGGUAAUAGAAGGAAUUUCUCCAAACAAUGGUUAACAAGGAGGAAUAGGUACAGGAGGGACAAAUAUGGGCAUAUAAUAGGAGAAGCAAACAAGACAAGAGAUGCUUCUACCCUCUAAUUCAGUGCAUACUCUCGAAAUGUUUUUGCCCUCUAACACAUUUUGCCUUUUGGACUAUGCAUCUUUCUUUAUUUCCUCAUACUGCUCUACGUCAGGUUGGAACUUGACCACUAUUGGGUUGGUAAAGGUUUGGAUUUCCACUGCAUAUAUGGGAGGAACAUGUGUGUAAAGAGUAGCUACAUGUUCCCCUUGUAUAUACUAGGCAGGAUAAUUUUGCAUAGUAAGAUUAUUUUGGAUUGGAGUUGGUAGGGGAUUACAGGGGGUAUUAACGAGUGGUUGGUUUGGUUAGUUUGAAGGAGUAGUUGUAGGUAAUGGAUAAGUAUGAGUACGUGGAGAAACAUAAGGAAUAUGAACUGGAGGUUGAUUUGGUGGGUUAAUAGGCAGUGGAUUAGGAAGAGUAGCAUAGGUAGUUUAGGUGGGUGGUUAACUUUGUGGAGGGAUGUAGUUUGGUGGUCUAUUUGGUGGAUUUGUUGAGAUGGUUGGAGGUAGAUUAUUGUUAGUGGGUGGGGGAUGUUAAGGAAGAAAAUGUUUGGGAAUUGGUCAAUCAAGUGAUGGAAAACGUGGUGGGUUUGAUAUGGUAUUUCUGGGUUCAGGAGGUGGACUUUAGAGUGUGAUGGAUAAGUUGGUCAAAUCCUUAAACCGAUUCAAUUCUCCCCGUAGAUCCUCAACUUCAUGAGUUAAACGAGCAACAUGCUCAUCAUGUUGGAUAACAACUCUAACUUCAGAGGUUUUUAGGAGGUUCACUGAUAAUCGUAUUUCCCAUACCAAUUGGAUUUAGUAUAGUUGGAUCAGACAUAGUGAUUUUUCUUCCUUGAACAGCCCAACUACGUCGAGGUAAUGCCGAUGACUUGGAUCUGGUGAAGUAAGGGUGGUUAGCCAGCUCGAUUGUCAACACGAUCAACCUCUUUCGGGGUAAAGAAAGUACUUCAAAAAUACAAAGACAAAGAGUUAGUUUAGGUCUUAUAUAAGUGCAUUCACAUUGAGUUAAACAUUCAUAUAACGUCAAGCAAACACGUCCUAUAUUUUGAAACCUCUUUUUGCCAGAGGUGGGCCUAUAUUCAAAUAAAUUGACGUAGAUGGAACCAAAUUUUGUCACAUUUGGAUUCAAAACAAUUUAGGAUUUUCGAAGAGAGAAUAGAAAAGUCAAGAUAGUUGUGAUGACGAUAACAAAAGAUUUUGUGAGGACGUACAUUAGUACGAAAGGAUAGGGAGGGCUAGAAUGGCCCUUUUGAAAAAGGUGAUACAAAAGGAAGAAAGAAUCUCAAGGACAUAUAGCUAGUUAAAAGACACUUAAGGAUAUCUAAUGAAAACAAUUUGUUGAUAACAACAGAUAGUCAUAGAUUAGAAAUAAAGAGUCAAACGAUGCUGGGGAUGAAAUAUAUCCCACAACUGUUUUCAUUAAAAAUAUAUCAAACAAAGGUGGAGCUUUGUCUAAUACUCCAAGUUUGUUGAGUGUAAGGAGGAAUUCAAGUAUUAGGGGAAGAUUUGGUAAUAUCCUAAUACCCAUUUGAUUAGAUUUAUAUGGAGUCUUUGAUAAUACUCUACAACUAUGGACUUGAAAAGGAAAUCGAAUAAACAGAGGUUUUUUGUUUUAGAAAAACUACUCCACAUAAUUGAUGGAAUUAAAGGAAGAUCAAUAAAAUUGUACUGAAUUAAUUUAACAUAGAGUACGUCGUAAGGUAUAUAACCUUCUGACAAAAGGGUGGCUUUCUAGUCGCAGAGAUGAUACCUUUGAUCGUCCUGUCUAAGGUGUAUGCAACAUGACCUAUUUCUAGAGUAAGAGUUUUUCCUAAAUGCUUGAGAGUACGACUGAAUAGCUACGAGAAGGCGCACUAAGCUAAUUGCACCGACUCUAAAACUAAGGAAUCCAAAGAAGAUUUGGAGAAGUACGAGACCCCCCUCCCGCGUGAACCACAGUGUUUGAAUUGUGUACGACCAAAGACUCGAUAGAAAACUGCAAAUAAAAAAGUACUAACAAGUAGUGUUUUCGAACAAACAAGGAGCGCAAGUUUGGAUUUAGCUUGUGCCCUUUUAAACAAAGCAGGAUACAAAUAUCGAUAAAGUAAAUAAAGUAAAAAAUCAUAUACUCCCAAAUAAUAAUCCUAAAACUAAGCCUACUAAAGCGAAAAUCUAUUAAAUCCCCAAUGGAGUUGUCACGCUGUCGCACCCCAUUUCGAACCGAUCGAAACAAUCCUCAACAUAAUGUGAUCGUGAUGACUUUUCUGAUUUUGAAAAAUUAUUUGCUUUUGCGUCGCCACCUAACUUUUAUGAAAAAUCUAGGAAAAUCAUUUUUGUAAUGUGAAAACUCUAUAUAUAGUCUGCAAAAAUCAGUGAGACUCUAAGUAAUGUUAUGGUUACUCGAGAGGAAGGUAUUAAGCACCCCUCAGAGCCUAUUCGACGAUAGCCCUUAAACUUAGUUCUUAGAAAAACAUUUGAGAAAUAUUUGCCUUAGUUAUUUGCUAAAGAAGGGAUUAGAAUUUUUUUAAUUAUUUUGAAAAAAGAAACUCAAGAUAUAUAAGACGUAACACCACCAUAUAUAAAAAAAUAAUAUAGUUAUUGCAAAAUGUAUACAUUUUAAAAUAUGAAAAAAGGAUGCGUUGUAAUAAACAUUUGUUAGAGAGUAAAAGGUCUUGUGAGUUUAUAAAAAAUGUAAGAAAUCGAAGUAAGGGAACAAAAUUAUUAUAAAGUAAAGAAAAGGUAGUUUUAAAGUAUAUGAGAAAUUAUUUAGUAGGAGAAAAAUAUAAAUACAUGUAUAUUUUAAAGUAUAAGAAUAGAUAUGAAAAUUCAUUAAAUUGUGAAAUCUCAGUAGAUUAAAAAUAAAAUUGUAAUAGUAAAACACAUAUGUAAAAUAAAGUUGAUAUAACAUGUAAAUGAUAAAAUAAUAAUAAUAUAAUGGUAAGAGAAAGAAUAGUAAUAGUAAGAAUAUACUUUAUAUAUGGUAGUGCAAGAACACAUAUUUGCUUUGUGUUUUUGGAGACUUUUAAAAUCUGAAAACUUAAAAUAAAGUUAAGAAUAAAUAUGAAAUGUAAUAAGCACAUAAAUUAUAUUGGAUUAAAUGAAAAAUUGAAUUUGAAAGAUGAGUUGCUUGCAAACAUAAGCGGGUAGACUAAUUGGAAUCUAUUACAGAGAUUUAUUUGAAAAAACUCUAAUUAAGGUGAUAAAAUAGUUAGUUAAUAUUUUGUAAAAACAAAUACUAUAACUAGCCAUUUUAUUCAAUUCAAAAAAGUUUUCCCAUUUGAGAUUGUUCUUAUAAAGAACAAAGUUUGCCAUUUAUUCUAAGAAGUUGAUUCGUAGGUGCAAAUUGUAAAAAAAUAAGUGGUCAAACCAUGGACCAUUACUAUACCUGUGAACAUCGAAUGAACAUGAAAUUGACUGAAUAAGAUCAAUUUCGGAUGAUUUAAAAUAUAAACGGAACUAAAAAAUGUGAAGUUAAUCAAACCACAUAAAAUACAUAUUCAAAGUGAUACAAAGUUAGUAAAAUAAAUACCAAUGAUAAUAAGAAUUUGUAGAGAAAGUAAAGGACUAGAUACACUAAUUUCUUUUUUGGAGGAAACCACUUCUAACGAUGCAAAUCUCGAAAGUUGACGAUCCUAUAGCCGUGGAUCCGAUACUAUGGGUUGAAUUGAGCUCCAUUGUGAAAUUCUAGCUCCCAAAUGUACAUAAACAAAAGGGAAAAAUAAGGAUUAGUGGCCGAUUAACAAGAAAGACAAAAAGUGUAAAGGUGAUUUAAAGGUUCAAGUUCCAAAUCAUAAUCUCCAAAAUCACUAAUUUAAUGUUCGUAUACAUAUAUUUUUUUGUGGUAAUAAGUAAUAUAGGAUUCUAACAAUUCCGAACCAACACAUAAUUGCAUACCGCUAACCGGUCCCAUGAACAGAGUUAUAUUUCCAGGCUACAGAAAGUUUGUACAAGUGCUAGGAAAUACUUUGGCAAAGAGUUAAAGAAAACAAGAAUAAGCACAUUCAAACACACAGAGACUCUAGAAUUACUCGGAGGUAGUUCGAAUACAUAUUCAGACUUAAAUUAAACAUAAGUAAAAAUAAGAAGGGACAAACAGUGAGAAAACAGAAUAACAACAACUUUAUGUUUCAACUAACAAACUUGUAGUCAUUCUUCAUUUUAAAAAAAAGAAUCAUGUAUGAAGUACGUUAUAGGAAAGUCACAAUGUAAUUUAGUCGAAUCCGUCCAUGCGUUUUAUGUUCAAGAAAAUGGACAAUGAUAGAAAACACACACAUACUAUAGUUAAAAUUCACAUUGUGUGUAAAUUCUAGCAGAAAGAUAACAAUAGAAUUAAGACAGGAUGGAAAUCACUCUUUCAGUUAUUCACGAGGCCAUAUUAGGCUCACAAUGAAACAUUUAAGGAAAUAAAACAACAGCACCAACAGUCCUAAAACAAAACAAACACCGGUAUGCACAUAUCUACAAACCCACGCAUUCACAUACAAAUAAUUUUUAGAAAAAAAUAUUAUAUUUUAUCCGCAAAGGUGAUGAAAAACCAACAACAACCAAAUUUAAGAAUUGAACAAAAUCAAACAUUCAUAAACCAAACGAGAUGGAGAAAAAAUGAGCAAAGAAAUUAAAGGGGCAGAUUCACCCAUAUCAGUACACUUAAAACAAAAUCAUAUUCCUAAAUUAAAUUCCAGAAUAAUAAACAACAACACCAUAGAUAGACCUAAAAUAAAUUAAAUCCCCCAUUCACGACAUUCAAAAAAUGACUGACAAAGAAGAUGUGAAGGCCACAGAAAAGACGGGUGAUUACCUUGUGCAGCAGGCUUGGUGAUUACCAUGUGUUUGCCAUUUAUUCUAAGAAGUUGAUUCAUAUGUGCAAGACUGUAAUAAAAAAUAAGUGGUCAAACCAUGGACCGUUAUUAUAUCCAUGUGCAUCGAAUAUGAAAUUGACCGAAUAAGACCAUUUUCGGAUGAUUUAAAAUUUAAACAGAACUAAACAAUGUAAAGUUAAUCAAACCAGACAAAAUACAUAUUCAAAGUGAUACAAAAUUAGUAAAAUAAAUACCAAUGAUAAUAAGAAUAUGUAGAGAAAGUUAAGGACUAGAUAUACUAAGUUCUUUUGUGGAGGAAAUCACUAUUAAUGAUGUAGACCUCGAAAGUUAACGAUUCUAUAGCUGUUGACCCGAUACUAUGGGUUGAAUUGAGUUCCAUUGUGGAACUCCAGCUCCCAAGUGUACAUGAAAAAAAAGAAAAAAAAUAAGAAUUAGUAGCCGAUUAACUAGAAAGACAAAAGGUGUAAAAGUGAUUUAAAGGCUCAACUUUCACAUCAUAUCUCCAAAAUCACUAAUUUAAUGUUCAUAUACAUAUUUCUUGUUGUGGUAACAAGUAAUAUAGGAUGCUAGUAAUUCCAAGCCAACACAUAAUUGCAUACUAAUAACCAUCCAACAUAGUGAUGGAAAAAGAAACAUGAUAUCCUACAGGUUGUUCCUAUGAGCAGUGAUAUAUUUUCAAGCUAAAGAAAGUUUGUACAAGUGCUAGGAAAUAACAAGGAAUGUAACAAUGAGGAUAUUAAACUUUUACUUUGGUAAAGAGUAAAGGAAAACAAGAGUAAGCACAUUCCAACACACAGAAACUCUUGAAAGAUUUGAUGGUAGUUCGAAUACAUACCCAGACUUAGAUUAAACGUUAGUAAAAAUAAAAGGGACAAAUAGUGAGAAAAUAGAAUAACAACAACUUUACCAUUUGUAGGGGAUGCGGAUAACUAAUUUAUGAAAUAGAUUUAGUAUAUAUAUAAUGAAUCUAUUUUUCUUUGUGCGUGGAUAUUUCUUGAAUUUUGUUUCAAUAUUUUUUAAUGAUUUAUUCUUUUCGUAAGAUGUAUUCAUUAAUUUGUUUGGUUUAUUAUUUUAUCCUGUAGUAAUUGCAGAGUUACAAAUUUCUGUAUAAUAAUUUAUCCUAACUGUACUGUAAUGUAUAUCUAAUUCUAGAUUUUCNNNNNNNNNNNNNNNNNNNNNNNNNNNNNNNNNNNNNNNNNNNNNNNNNNNNNNNNNNNNNNNNNNNNNNNNNNNNNNNNNNNNNNNNNNNNNNNNNNNNNNNNNNNNNNNNNNNNNNNNNNNNNNNNNNNNNNNNNNNNNNNNNNNNNNNNNNNNNNNNNNNNNNNNNNNNNNNNNNNNNNNNNNNNNNNNNNNNNNNNNNNNNNNNNNNNNNNNNNNNNNNNNNNNNNNNNNNNNNNNNNNNNNNNNNNNNNNNNNNNNNNNNNNNNNNNNNNNNNNNNNNNNNNNNNNNNNNNNNNNNNNNNNNNNNNNNNNNNNNNNNNNNNNNNNNNNNNNNNNNNNNNNNNNNNNNNNNNNNNNNNNNNNNNNNNNNNNNNNNNNNNNNNNNNNNNNNNNNNNNNNNNNNNNNNNNNNNNNNNNNNNNNNNNNNNNNNNNNNNNNNNNNNNNNNNNNNNNNNNNNNNNNNNNNNNNNNNNNNNNNNNNNNNNNNNNNNNNNNNNNNNNNNNNNNNNNNNNNNNNNNNNNNNNNNNNNNNNNNNNNNNNNNNNNNNNNNNNNNNNNNNNNNNNNNNNNNNNNNNNNNNNNNNNNNNNNNNNNNNNNNNNNNNNNNNNNNNNNNNNNNNNNNNNNNNNNNNNNNNNNNNNNNNNNNNNNNNNNNNNNNNNNNNNNNNNNNNNNNNNNNNNNNNNNNNNNNNNNNNNNNNNNNNNNNNNNNNNNNNNNNNNNNNNNNNNNNNNNNNNNNNNNNNNNNNNNNNNNNNNNNNNNNNNNNNNNNNNNNNNNNNNNNNNNNNNNNNNNNNNNNNNNNNNNNNNNNNNNNNNNNNNNNNNNNNNNNNNNNNNNNNNNNNNNNNNNNNNNNNNNNNNNNNNNNNNNNNNNNNNNNNNNNNNNNNNNNNNNNNNNNNNNNNNNNNNNNNNNNNNNNNNNNNNNNNNNNNNNNNNNNNNNNNNNNNNNNNNNNNNNNNNNNNNNNNNNNNNNNNNNNNNNNNNNNNNNNNNNNNNNNNNNNNNNNNNNNNNNNNNNNNNNNNNNNNNNNNNNNNNNNNNNNNNNNNNNNNNNNNNNNNNNNNNNNNNNNNNNNNNNNNNNNNNNNNNNNNNNNNNNNNNNNNNNNNNNNNNNNNNNNNNNNNNNNNNNNNNNNNNNNNNNNNNNNNNNNNNNNNNNNNNNNNNNNNNNNNNNNNNNNNNNNNNNNNNNNNNNNNNNNNNNNNNNNNNNNNNNNNNNNNNNNNNNNNNNNNNNNNNNNNNNNNNNNNNNNNNNNNNNNNNNNNNNNNNNNNNNNNNNNNNNNNNNNNNNNNNNNNNNNNNNNNNNNNNNNNNNNNNNNNNNNNNNNNNNNNNNNNNNNNNNNNNNNNNNNNNNNNNNNNNNNNNNNNNNNNNNNNNNNNNNNNNNNNNNNNNNNNNNNNNNNNNNNNNNNNNNNNNNNNNNNNNNNNNNNNNNNNNNNNNNNNNNNNNNNNNNNNNNNNNNNNNNNNNNNNNNNNNNNNNNNNNNNNNNNNNNNNNNNNNNNNNNNNNNNNNNNNNNNNNNNNNNNNNNNNNNNNNNNNNNNNNNNNNNNNNNNNNNNNNNNNNNNNNNNNNNNNNNNNNNNNNNNNNNNNNNNNNNNNNNNNNNNNNNNNNNNNNNNNNNNNNNNNNNNNNNNNNNNNNNNNNNNNNNNNNNNNNNNNNNNNNNNNNNNNNNNNNNNNNNNNNNNNNNNNNNNNNNNNNNNNNNNNNNNNNNNNNNNNNNNNNNNNNNNNNNNNNNNNNNNNNNNNNNNNNNNNNNNNNNNNNNNNNNNNNNNNNNNNNNNNNNNNNNNNNNNNNNNNNNNNNNNNNNNNNNNNNNNNNNNNNNNNNNNNNNNNNNNNNNNNNNNNNNNNNNNNNNNNNNNNNNNNNNNNNNNNNNNNNNNNNNNNNNNNNNNNNNNNNNNNNNNNNNNNNNNNNNNNNNNNNNNNNNNNNNNNNNNNNNNNNNNNNNNNNNNNNNNNNNNNNNNNNNNNNNNNNNNNNNNNNNNNNNNNNNNNNNNNNNNNNNNNNNNNNNNNNNNNNNNNNNNNNNNNNNNNNNNNNNNNNNNNNNNNNNNNNNNNNNNNNNNNNNNNNNNNNNNNNNNNNNNNNNNNNNNNNNNNNNNNNNNNNNNNNNNNNNACUGGUUUUAUUUCGUCAUAUAAUAUCUCUGCUGGUGCAGUAUACCACUUUAUAUAAAAUAAAUUUCCUUUUGUUAUUCUUUUGUAGGUGGUGAAUAUCUUGUGUAAUUCUUCCAUAGCUGUUAAUUCUUCUCCGUCUUGGGUGUAUAUGGUGUUUAAUAGUCCAUAGUCAAAACAGGUUUUUACUAGGCUUGGGUUAGUUUUGGGUAGUGCUAUCAGUUUAUUGUAUCCUUGUAAUUUUUGGGUUAUAUAGUUGGUGUUUGGUUCUUUGAUGUUUGUAGCUCUGGGGUUAUGGUUUAGAAAAGUUUGUACUCUGUAGAUAUUUUCUAUGUAUUUCUGGGUUGUGUAGUUGUAAACUUUUUUAUCUUGGUUCAGACUAUCUCGGUAUAUGGUAAUUUGUGGGGGUAUGAACAAGGGGUCUUUUUGUGUUUUUGGUAUAAAUGGUUUCUCAAAUAUCUUAUUCAUAUUCAUGUUCUGAUAUCAUUGUCUACUAACUCCUUUGCUUGUACCUACAGAAGUAGAUUGAUAAACGUUAUGGGUCUUAUGGAGUGUCACAUCGUCUCCUUCUAUCUCUGGAACUUUAAUGUCUUUCGAUCGACAUAGCUCUGCACAUUGCUGAGUUAGCUGAUUUGUAGCUAUAGACUUCAGUUUAUCUUCAUUAGUCUUUAGCUUUUCUAUCUCAUUACCCAUACUGUCCACUUUCAUUGAAAGCGUAGUUAGGGUGUUAAGUAUUUUUUCUAGAGUAUCUUCUUCUAUUAUUUCAGUCUGUGUAGCUUUGUCUUAAUAUGUAAUCUGCAAUUACAUUUUUGUUAGUACUGAUCACUUCAAUUGUAAAUGUGAAAUUUAAUAUAUUCAAGACUAGUCUCCGAAUCUCUUUUGUUGUAACUAAAUUUUAUAUUUUCUUUGUUAACCACUAGAGUACCUGUGUAUUAUCUGUUCAUAUAAUAAAUUUGUUAUACACAAUAUAUGACUCAAAUGCUAACAAACAUUUAUAUAAUGAACAUGAUUCUUUCCUAUUUAUUUCCCAUUUUAUUUCUGUCUCAUUGAACGUACCUGAGUAGUAUCUACAAUGGUGUUCUAUUUUUUCUGCUUCAUAUCGAUAUUUAAGUACUCCUCCAUAACUAUAUUCACUAGCAUCUGCUUCUACUAUAUAUAUAAAUUUUCUAUUUUCAUCUGGAAAUUGUAAUUUUGGUAAUUCUUUACAAAGUAAUUUUAUUUUUUGAACUUGUUUUUUAUCUUUUUCAUCAUAGUUAUAUUCUAUAUCCUUUUUUAAUUUUUUCUGUAGUGGUUUUAAAGUUUCUGCUAAUUUUGGAAUAUAUUCUCUUACUUGGUUUACUAAUCCUAAAAAUGAUUGUAAUUUCUUUUUUGUAUCUAAUUCUUCUUUCGAAUUUAUUAUUUUUUGUACUAUAUGUUGUUGCAUUUUUACUCCACUUUUAUCUAUUUGUAUUCCUAAAAAUUCUAUCUGGUUUUUCAUAAUUUCAGCUUUCUUUUUGCUUAGACUUAUUCCUGAUUUUUCUAUUAUAUCUGUGAACUGUUCUAAUAAUUUUAAAUGUUCUUCUUUAGUUUUUGUAUAUAAUAAUAUAUCAUCUAUGUAUACUAUACAAUUAGAUAAUUGUUUAAAAUAAUUAUCCAUAAAAUGUUGAUAUCUACCUGGUGCAUUUUUAUAUCCAAAUGGUAACACGUUCCAUUCAUAAAAUCCUUGUGGUACCGUAAAUGCGGUUAAUUCUUUAGAUUCUUCUUCUAGCUUUAGGUGGUAAAAUCCUGAUUUACAAUCAAAUUUGCUAAAAUAAUUAUAUCCUUGGAUUUGUCUUAUUUUUAAUAUCUUAUUUGGUAUCGGAUAAUUAUAUGUUAUAGUUUUUGCAUUUAAAUUUCUAUAGUCAAUAACCAUCCUACUUUUUCCUCUUUUUUGUUCACUAUGUUUAUUUACUAUAAAUGCUGGACUAUUAUGUUUACUAUUACUUUUUUGUAUAUAUUGUUUUUCUAAUAAUUCAUCUAUGUGCAUUUUAAAUUCUUUUAAAUCAUCAAAAUUAUAUGUUAAUGGUUUUUGUGUUAUUAUGCUAUUCUUAUCUAUUAAUUCAAUUUUUAUAGUAGUUUUGUGUUUUUCCCAUCCUUUUAAUGGAUCUUCACUAUAUAAUUGUUCUAAUUUUUUCUGAAUUAUUUCUAUUUUAUUUAUUGAAAAUAUAGUUAUUUCUGUUUUAUUUAUCGAAAAUACUACUAGUUCUACUGUAUCUUCAGUAUUUUUUAUAUUUUCUAACUUUUGUGUAAUUUUUUCACUUCCUUUUAUCCAAUCAGUUUUCUUUCUUAUUUUAUUAUUAACUCUUUUUGCUCUUACUUUUUGUUUGCAUGGUGUUGUAAACCACCAGUCUGUUUUGGUUAUUAUAUGUGGGUAUAAUUUAUCUAAAAAUGGCAUUCCUAAAAGUAUAUCUUUUGAUGUUAAUUCAUAAUUAUAAAUUUCUUCUAUUGUUAAUAUCUUAUCCCAUACUUGUAUUUUUACAUUCCUAGCUUUAUAAGUAAUUAAGCUUCCUUCAUUAUUAAAUCCUUUAACUAUUAUUGGUGUUUUUAGUUUAUCCCAUUUGCUUUCUGGUAAGCAAUUAUAUCUACAUAAAUUAGCUUCUGCUCCUGUAUCUAUCAUAGGCGUAUAAUAUCUACUGUAAUAUCCUUCUACUACUAUCUUCAUUAAUACAUGUAUCUUCAUUUCAUGUUAAGGCUCUUUUUAAGAAUAACUUUUCUUGGUUAUAUGUUAAGGUUAAUUGUGUAUGUUCUAUAUUAUAUGGUUUUACUUGUUCCAACCAUUUUAUUCCUAAUAUUAUAUCUGCUUUUUGCAUUUCUUCCUUUACUUCGAAUUCUAUUUUUAUUUUUCUAACUCCUAAUAUUAUUUCUUUUUCUGCUAGAUUUUUAUUAUUUAUUAAACUUCUUGGUAAAUCUGGGCAUAUAUUAUUAUCGGUUUUUAUUUCUUCAUUUUUUACUAGAUAUUUUGCUAUAUAAUUUUCUUCUUGUCCUGUAUUCAAAAGUAUUAGAUAUUCUUUUUCAUUUAUUUUUCCCGUUAUGUAAUAUUGGUUUAAAUUACUUAUUGAGUUUGUUUCAUAACUUGUUCUUUUUGAUGAGCUUGAUGAUUCUGGCUUUUCAUUAGCUAUUCUUUUCGUUGUACUUAUUCUAUCAUUUACUAUUUCUAAAUUUUCUUCUGUAUCUAUGUCUCUAUAGGUAUAAUCAUUAUAAUCUAUUGUUUUUACUAUUUGUUCGAAUGGGCUUUCUAUUUGUAUUUUGUUAAUCUUAUUUUUUCCUGUUAUUUUAUGUUUUGUUGUUAAUACAUAUAGGUUUUUACAUCUUGCUGUAAAUAUUUUACUUCCUGGGGUUAACUCUAUUCCUGAUAUUUUCCAAUAUAAUACUAAUGAUUUAUCUAUAUUCCUAUCUGUUACUGCUACUGAAUAAUUUGCACUUAUUAUAAAUUUAAAUUUUUGGUAUAUUAGAUUUCCUUUUACGGCAGUUAUUAUGCUUUUUUCUAUAGGUUUUAUAAUUCUAUCGUCUGCUAAAUAUAAUUCUAUUGGUGUAUCUAUUCCUUCUCUAAAACAUGCUUUUAUUAAUAUCUCUGUACCUCCAAGGUGUACAUAUUUUAUUGGAUCUCCUUUACUUUUUAUAUCAUUUAUUUCUUUAUUAAUUAUUCUUUUUGUUACUAGUGGUAUACUAGCUUUUCCUUUUGCAUAUCUGCAAUCUAUUACAUGUUCUUUUUGGCAUACUACAUAAUAUUCAUCUUUUUUCCUAGUAAAAAUAUUUUUUAUUGUUGGUAUUUUAAAUAUUUUGUCUACACUUAAAUCUAAUUCUUUUCCUUUUAUUUCAUCAAAUAUAUUACUGUCAAAUAUUAUUUUUUGUUCCGUUCCUUCAUCAUUUAAAUAUUCUUCCUUUGUUAUUAUUUUUAUAUCUUCUUCAGUCAUUUGAUUCAUCUAUUUCGCUAUCUAGUUCAUUAUCUGUUUCAUUUUCUGAAAUUUCAUAUAUACUAUCUUCACUUUCUAAUUCAUAAUCUAUAUAAUCUAUCUGCAUGUAUUCGGUAUUUUCUAUUUUUAUUUCUGAUAUUUGUUUAUUUUUUGGAUUUUUAGGUAAUUUACAAUCUCUAGCUAAAUGUCCUAACUUUCCACAAUUAUAACAAGUACAUUCUUUUAUAGAUUUCUUUUUUCUAUAUGGUCUUUUAUGUUUAUAAUUUUUUACAUAGUAUCUUUUUCUUGGUUUUUUAUAUUUAUAUUUUGAUUUUUUAUAUUUCUUAUAUUUCUUAUGUCUUUUUCUUUUCUUAUAAUAUCUUUCUUCGCAUCCAAAUUGGGGUGCUAUUUUAUUUUUGCAACAAGCUAAAUUUCUUAUUAAUGUUUUUUCCAUUUUUAAUUCUUCUCUAUAUUUUUCACAUAAGUUUCUAUACCAUUGUUGUAAAUAUUUUAUUCUUGCUCCUAACGUAUCUACUAUUUUUGCUUCUUCCCAACUUUUUAUUAUUUUCGAACUAAAUGGCUCGGGUAAUUUAUUAAAAUAUAAUUUUCUUAUUUCUUUACUUUCUUCUAUACUAUAUGCUCCUUUGUAAUAAUAUUCUUUAAAUGCGCAAGUAUAUUCAUCUAUAUAACACAUAUUACAUAUUGCUAAUUUUAACAUUAAAUUUCUAUUUGUAUCUUUUUCUUCAUUUUGUUCUUCUUCGAUUGUUGUCGUACUACCAAAUUCAUCUUUUAUAGCUGUUUCAUAUUUUUUUAAUAAUUCUAUAGGUGUUAGUUUAGUUGUUGUCGAUGAUGUUCCUUCUAUAGGUUUAUUAGUUCUUAAUACUUUUUUGCUAUUUUCGGUUAGAUUUGCAAACCAUAGUUUUACUGAUCCUAUUAGUGUUUUUUCUAUAUAUUCCGGUGCAUCUGUUAUAUUUAUAUUAUUAUCUAAUAAUUGUUUUGUCAUAUAUCCUAUCCAUAAUUGUAUUGUUUUUUCUGUAUCUAUUACACAGUCUAGAUCUAAAAAGUUAUAAUUUUUAUUCACUAUUUGUUUUGGUAUCCAUUUAUCAUAUUCAUUAUAUUUUUUAAACUUAUUCUUAUAAUAUAUAGGUUUUCUUAUUUCUGUUGUUUUAGGUAUUAUAUUUUCAUUUUCUUUUUUAUCAAGAGUAUUUAUUUCUGUGUGGGUAUUUUCUAAGUUUUCCUCAUAAAUUUUUUGUUCUUCAUUGAUUUCUAAAUUUUUUGUAUUUGUUAAUAUUUCUGUGUAUGUUUCACUAUCUUCGGACUCAUAAUUAUCUGUCUCUUCAAUAUCUAUAUUAUUUAUUUCUAAUUCUUCAUUUUUUAUUUCUAAUUUUUCCUUAAAUUGAUUUAUCUCAUUUAGUAAUUUCUGUUCUCUAUCUUUUUCUUCUUUUUCUUUUUGUCUUUGUUCAUACAGUUCUUUUAACAUUUGUAAUUCUUUUUCUAAUUCAGCAAUUCUACUAUUUUUGGUUUCUUCUAUUUUUCGUAUUUCUUCCGUAGUUUGUUGUUUUAUUUUUUCUAUUUCUUUUUUCCUAUCUAUCUCUUCAUUUUCUUUUUCUAUUCUUACCAUUGCUGUUAAUUUAUCUUCUAAUUUUAAUUCUUCUUUUUCUAACAUUAGAUAUAAAUGUUCACCUAUUUUCUUAUAUCUUCGUCCUAGAUUAGAAAAUACUAUUUUUAUUUUUGAUCCUUCGUAGUUUUCAUAUAUUUUUUCAUCUAUUAUAAAUUCUUCUUUAUUCAUUUUAUUGUGAAUAGGUCAUGUUGAUAUACAUAUUCUAAACUAUCUAUUUGUGAUUCUAAUUUUGAUAUUUCAUCUUUUUGUGUAUUUAUUGAAUUUUCACUGACUCCAGCAAAUAUAUUAUAAUGUAAUCUUUCUAUUCUUAUUUUUAAUUUUUACGUUUUUCAGAAAUAAUUUGUUUUAAUUCUUUGUAUUUCUGCACUUUAUUCAUUUAAACCAUGUUUAUAAUAUCUUAGUGGAUAUCUAAAUCUAAUUUUAUCAUAAUUAGGUGGUAUGUGUUUCAUUCUUCUAGAUUUUAAAUGGAUUAUUAAUUUUGCUUCAAUACCAAAUAUUAAGGUAAUUAGGUAGACUAAUCUUUGUGGGUUUUCUAUUGUUUUAUUUAGACUUGUAUAUUCUGAAUAAUUACUAAUUAAAAAAUCUUUAAUUUUUCUAAAAGUUUCUCUAUUUUUAAAUGGUCUUCUCAUAAUUAAUGCAAUAAACAUAGAUAAAUUCUAACAUGUCUAACAUAUAUCUAAUAUUAAGGUAAUUAGGUAGACUAAUCUUUGUGGGUUUUCUAUUGUUUUAUUUAGACUUGUAUAUUCUGAAUAAUUACUAAUUAAAAAAUCUUUAAUUUUUCUAAAAGUUUCUCUAUUUUUAAAUGGUCUUCUCAUAAUUAAUGCAAUAAACAUAGAUAAAUUCUAACAUGUCUAACAUAUAUCUCUAACAUAUCUAACAUAUAUCUCACAUACAGACAAUAGUUAAAAUUGACAUAGCGUGUAAAUUUUAGUAGAAAGAUCACAAUAAAUUUAAGACGCUAUGGAAAUCACUCUUUCAGUUAUUCACGAGACCAAAUUAGGCUCGCACUGAAUCAUUAAAAAAAAUCAACAAACAAUUAUAACAGUCCUAAAACAAAAUAAAAACUACUAUGCCCAUAUUUAUAGACCCACGUAUUCACACACAAAUAAUUUUUCAGAAAAACAUAUUAUAUCUUAGGAAUAAUUACAGAAAGUAGCAUACUUAAAGACUAUAAUUACACUAAAUAGCAACACUUUUGUAAAAUUACAGUUUAUAGCAAGAGUAACAUUAUUUUACUCAUUAAUUAGGUAAGUCCAUAUUUUACUCUCACCACUUUACAUUUUCUUAUUUUCACUCCACCAUUUCACCUCCCCAAAAUAUAGCUAUAUCUUUUAUCCUUUUUUUUCAUCUUAUUUUUUUUAUUAUUUAUUUUUUUAUUUACUCUCUUCUAUUUCUCUUUUUUUUUUUUUUUUUUUUUUUUUUUUUUUUUUUUUUUUUUUAAUUUUUUUUUAACGUUUUUUUUUUUUUUCAUAUUUGAAGACAAUUAUCUCCAUGAUCUUCAAGAUUUCAAAAUAAAAUAUGUCUUUCACUCUCUUAUCUCUAUACCUUUUUUCUUGUUACUUUUUUUUCAUCUUAUUUUUUUUUAUCAUUUUAUUUUUUUAUUUUUAUUUUUUAUUUUUUAUUUUUUCUUUCCACGUUGUUUUCUCUCUUCUAUUUCUCUUUUUUUUCCUUUUUCGUUUUCGUUUUUUCCUUUCUCAUAUUUUUUUUCUAUUUUUUUCUAUUUUAUUUUGUUUUUUUUUCUUUUAUUUUUACACUUCUAUUUCUCUUUCUUCUUUUUUUUUUUUCUUUUUCACUUCUCUUUUUUUUCAUUUUUUUAUUUUUCUUUUUGUUUUCUUUCCAUUUUUUUUACUCUUCUCUCUCUAACUUUUAUUUUUAAAAAGACAAAUAUGUAUAUCACAUACACAUGUUCAAAAAACAUACAAAAUAUAUAGACAUACAGAUCUGGAUAUGUAUUUACAGUACAAAACAUACAUAUGUAUUUACGAAAUACAUAUGAUAUUAAUAUUAGAUAGUAACAAACAUAACUAUACUAUAUAUCUUCAUAUGUAUUUGCGAAAUACAAAGGUGACUCAUAUAAAAUAAGAAUACACAUAUGAAUCAGGUAUGUAUUAUGUAAAUACAUAUGCAGAGCUACAUGUAUUUUAUACACUGUUCUUAUUUAUUUUCUUUUACUGUUUUAAGAUAUGUAUAUGUAUUUUUUUACUACCUAUAUGUAUAUGUAUAUAAUUUUUAUUUUUGUUAUAGAGAUUUUGGGUCCUAUAUGUUUAUAUAUACAUGUGAGUCAGAUAUGUAUUUCUGUAAAUACAUAUGCAGAUUUGUAUGUCUAUUUAUUUUGUAUAUAUUUUUUAAUAUGUAUAUAUGAUAUAUAAAAGUAAAAGACAGAGAUAGAAGAGUAAAAAAAAUAUAGAAAAAACAAAAACGAAAAAAAUAAAAAUCCAAAAAAAAAGAAGUGAAAAAGGAAAAAAAGAAAAAAGAGAAAUAGAAAUUAGAAAUAGCACAAAAUAAAAAAAAAAAAGAAAACAAAAAAAAAUAUAAGAAAAGGAAAAAAAUGAAAAAAGAAAAAAUAAAUAAAAAAUGAAAAAGGAAAAAAAAAGAGAAGUAGAAGAGAGACAAUAAAGUGGAAAGAAAAAGUGAUAAAGUAAAAAAUUAAAAUAAUAAAAAAAUGAAAAAACUAACAAUAAAAAAUAAUUAGAGAUAUAAGAGGAUGAUAUUUUGAAAUUUUGAAGAUCAUGGAAAUAAUAAUCUUUAUAUUUGAGUUUGAUUUGAAAAAGCAAUCUACUAAUUUAAAUAAGAGUAAUUUGUGGGAAUUUAAUUAGAUGAGAUAAUUAUUCCUUAUUUAACUCAACUAAUUUGAGUAAAAGAAGGAAAGUAAAUCUUAUUGUAUAUGUAUUUGUAUAACAACAGUUUACUUAAAUACAAAUUAUAAUUUGCUAUUUUUCAUAAUUAUGAAACUGUUGCUAUAAAAGUUACAAUUAAGACUCUAUAAUUGUUAUUUAUGAAAAUUUCCAUAUAUUUUAUCCACAAAGGUGAUGAAAAACCAACAGCCAAAUUUUAGAAUAGAAUAAAAAACACACAUUUAUAAACCAAACAAGAUGAAGAAAAGAUGAACAAAGGAAUUAAAGGGGCAGAUUCACACAUAUCAGAACACUUAAGACAAAACCAUAUUCCUAAAUUCAAUUCCAGGAUAAUGAAUAUCAACACCAUAAAUAGACCUAAAAUAAAUUAAAUUACCCAUUCACGACAUUCAAAAAGUGGCCGACAAAAAAAUGUGAAGGCCACAUAAAAGAUGGGUGUUUAUCUUGUGUUGUGCAACAAGCCUAGGACUUCAAUGUCAAGAUUCUGGACACGAAUUCCAGUUACUCCUAAAAUUCAAACUCAAACCCAAGUGAGAUCAAUAAAAGAGAAA
RNAcentral lists this long non-coding RNA (53076 nucleotides) under Capsicum annuum. RNAcentral's name for it is "long non-coding RNA (CANN_LNC012855)". The record is from RNAcentral. Lineage: Eukaryota; Viridiplantae; Streptophyta; Magnoliopsida; Solanales; Solanaceae.